AUCUUAAUAAUAAAACUCUAGCAUGGAUAUGAUGAGUAGUUGCUCUGCCUAAUUUUCAAAUUUGAAGUUCUCUCUCUAGUUUAGACAUAACUGUUAUAAUUUAAAGCUUGCUCUAAAUCUGAACUUGUGGGAAGAAAACUUGAUCUGAAGUCUAAGUUGUUAAUGGAUAUGAUAUGGGAAGGUUGAGCUGCUGUUUAUCUGUUCCUAGAGAUGCUAGAAUUCUGGAGAAUUUUAUCUUUGAAAAUCUUUAAAAUAUCACAUGAUGAGUUCCUGUUUGAUGAGAGUUUAAAUUCCUACCACAGCCAUGUAUACAUGCUUGCUAGACUUUAAGCCACACAUUUAAUUUUUACUGCUUAUGAGCAUUGAGUGUGGUCAAGCUGUGUAGACCCUUAGGAGCUUGUCAUGUGGUUAAAUCAAGAUUCACUUGCACGUUCACUCACUUAUGCUGCUUCUACUCCGGAAGUACGCAUCCACAUAUAUCCACUCAUUACCAUCUCCAGAACCACUCAAAAAUAUUCUACUCCUAAUCCGGAAGAGAAUAGCCAAAAACAUUUCUGUUUUUCCCCUGUGAAAUAAAUGCUCAAGUUAUCUUGGUUACUACCACUUGCUAUAUUAUUUCAAGAGAUGAGUUCUCUAAAAAAAGAGAAAAGGAAAAAGAUACGAGGAAAUAAAAAGGGGCAAGUGCCCGGAACCUCGAAGAAAAGAAAAAGUGAGACGAGAGGUAAAAAUGGACAAGUGUCCGACAGUAGAAUUAGGGGUACAAGAUACCCACCUGAGAGGAAAGAAAAAGAAAAUAUAGAGCAUCUCAUUCUCCUCAAAAGUUUCAAAAGAGCAAGAAAGGUAUGUAUCCCCUCAAAAGAGCACAAGUAGAAUUAGACUUUCACCAUUGUUAUCACCAUCAUCACCAUACACCAUUCAUUCGCCACACAUGCACAUCUUGAUUUGACUUAUUGACUUGUUUCUUUGGAUCCAUGGUUUGACUAUACAAUAAAUGUCUUGUAAGUAUGUAUACUUUAUCUCCCACCUAUGAGCUCAAGAUAUCAAAGCCUUAUUAAAGUAGGGUGAGAGAGAAGGCAAUGUCACUAUGCCUUAAACCACAAAUACCACAUACUUUGAGAGAAGGCAUAUACCAUCAUUGCCUUGGUAAGGAUCUAGAAAUACCACAAAGGAGAGAUCUGAGAGAGUCAUACAAGGAAUCUCUGAGUUUUAUUUGAAAAUCUGCAAAAAAUUCCAAAGCUAUAGCUGAUCAAGAAUAAGAGACAUGGCACUUGACUAGACCGUUCUAUCUUUUAACUGCUCAAGACAGAAGUGACGGUUACAAGUCCCAUGGUAAAAGGUAAAGUAAGUAAGUUUUAAGUCUUGGCAGUUUACUCUCACUCAGAGAUGAAACCUUAUUUAAAAGCAUGUGUACCAUUAAUUUUUAAAAGGUAUUACAACAACUUCUGAUCCAUCACUGAGAUUAUCCUUGCUCAGGGACGAGCAAGAGGUAAGCUUGGGGGAGUUUGUUGACGGUCCUUAAGUAUCAAAUAUAAUCAACAAAUAAACAAAGAAAAGGAUCCAAAUGCAACCAACAUCCAGACUUAGGGUUUUAUCUGACAGAAUUCCAUGAGUUUUGGUGUUUGUCUAUUUCUGCAGGGGGUUAUGAGGAAUUAUGGAAGAAAGGUCCACACGUCAGGUUUACAUAGAGAUAUUAACGUACUGCGCAGUUAUCCUACAUCUAGAAGAGUCCAGAAGCCACGGGAACAAACGGGAGACCGGACGGGCUCGGGGGCAGGGCGCCCACCCUCCCCCCUUGGGCGCCCACCCUGGCCUCGGGGCCAAUCAGCUUCAAUCUCACGGAUCUUGCUCCACCGACCUAAAGGAUCAAGGAGAACCAUUCAAUCAAUGUCGGUUUGAUCCGACAGCCUAUAUUCACUUGGAAGGACUAUAUAAGCAGACCCCCUGGCCUCUGGAGGAGAGGACCUCAGACCCCUAAUUCAUUAUUCAUCUUGGGAGAAGAAGCCUCUGAUCAAGCCCUAGAGCCACCACAUCAAUUAGAUCUCUAGUUUAGCAUAGCUACAUAGGAUUAGAACUAGAAGGAGUCAAUCUUCGAUUGGUUUCCGGAUCUGUCAAGAGGAUUCUUGGUAAUUCCUCUACUGUUCUUCAAUUGUUCAUCUUUGUUCUUCAAUAUUAUGAAUAUGACUUUGUUCUACUUCAAUAUAUUGAUUAUGACUUUGCUCUACUUGUUUAUAUUCGCAAUUAUAUUGUUCUUAGUUUAUCAUAGUUAUAUGCUUGGCUUAGUUAGAUUAGAUUUAUAUACAUGUUUAGGAUCGUAUAGCAUUUAUCCAUGUGUACAGUGGGUAAAUGAUAAGUAUUGUGUAGGCGUGGUGCCUAUACUGUAUUUAUCUGCGAUUGUACCCUAUAUGCCAGAUCGCGAGGUAGUUCGUGGUAGUGACAGCUCCAUUGAUUCUUAUAUAGUCCCCCUCUCGUGUAUAGGGCUGGCAGAGCAACAUUAUGACAGGAGAGUGAUUGCGAUGUUUCUCAUAUUCCUUGAUAAUAUCACUAUGCAUGGGCGUAAUCCUGUCUCGCAAUGACUGCCAAGUAUAAUUGCACUAACUAUGAUAUGCUAGACUGUAUAGUUGAGAAUAACUUAGGAAAUAUUCUUGCAGUUCGUCCUAAUUCCAUGCUAAUGACUUUAUAGAAUAUCUAUUGAGUUGUUUAUCAUAUUUAUAUGUGGCUAAGUGAUGCUGAUCAGAUUAAUUAUCUUUGUCACCAUUCAUACUUUAUCUAUCCUUUAUGUGACAUUUAUCCCUGUAUGAAAGAGAUAGAUAAAUGCUCUCAAUUAUACAUGCAAUGAUAGAUACUCAAUUCUAUAUUCCAUUCUAUAAUCAACAUUGAUGUUUAGCAAUCCCUUCCCAGUGGUAAAAAUAUAAAUAACGGUACCUGGAAUACUUCCCGGUUAAAAUGCUACAUCGGUAUUAAUCUGUGCGCUUGCAGAUCUUAUUUAUUAUUUAUUCUGAAGAGAAAUUGCAUAUUUCAAUACCGCGUCUCUUAUGUCAUGCUGGGGAUGACAACUUGGCUUAAUUGGCAUGAGGGAUAGGUUUGGCAUUUUUGGCGCCAUUAUCAGAAUUAGAAAACUAAGUCUACUUUUGGUAGUGACGUUAAGAAUGCCCAACAAGCAUUUUUGGCGCCGUUGCCGGGGAAGGUUGAUUACUAACUAGGAAUGAAUAUGGAAUUUCGAGUCAUCAUUCACAUCACUAAUAUGAUUGAGAUUAUCAAUCCUCUCAUACAGUUUUACCCUGAUAUUUUUCUAUUUUAUCUUAUGCAGGGUAAUGUAUGAAUAGAAGACAUCUUCCAGGAAAUUUUGUUGACAAUCUCGAAGCGUUAUUCAGAAAAACAAGAGCCAAGAAUCCUCUUGAUAUAUCCGGAAACCAAUCGAAGAUUGACUCCUUAUAGUUCUAAUCCUAUGUAGCUAUGCUAAACUAGAGAUCUAGUUGAUGUGGUGGCUCUAGGGCUUGAUCAGAGACUUCUUCUCCUGAGAUGGAUGAAUGAAUUAGGGCUUCUGAGGUCCUCCUCUCCAGGGGCCAGGGGCCUGCUUAUAUAGUCCUUCCAAAUGAAUAUGAGCUGUCGGAUCAAACCGACCUUAAUCGCAUGGUUUUCUUUAAUCCCUUAGGUCGGUGGAGCAUGAUCCGCGAGGCGGAGCCUGAUUGGCUCUCAGGCCAGGGCGGGCGCCCUGCCCCCGGGCCCACUCGGCCUCCCGCUCGUUCCCGUGGCUUAUGGACUCUAAUAGAUGUUGGAUAAUUGCGCGGUACGUUAAUAUCUCUAUGUAAACCCGACGUGUGGCCCUUUCCUCCCUAUUUCCUGAUAACCCCCUGCAGAAAUAGACAAACACCAAAACUCGUGGAAUUCUAUUAGAUAAAACUCUAAGUCUUGGUGUUGGUUACAUUUGGAUCCUUUUCUCUAUUUAUUUGUUGAUUAUAUUUGAUACUUAAGGAUCGUCAACACAGAGCGUUCGGUGCCUGCGAUCAGAGCGUCCGGUGUGUGUUUUUCAGUGAGAAACACUCCGGCGACCUCUCCAAACUUUCCACCAAUGCAAUAGAAAAUAUGCAUUUCAAUUUCUCAAAAGCAUCAAAUUUUCAUUUCCACCGAACCCAAACCCCUCUCUACCCUUCAGACUCCACCUCAUUCUCAAAGUGUGCCAACAUCACCAUGUGUGUACCAACAUGUGCAAGUGUGUUAGCAUUUUCACAAACAUUUUAUUCGAAGGAUUUAAGUUAGCUCACUAGGUUCUAAAUGCAUGCACAUGAACAAUGACACCUAGUGGCACUUGAUAACCGUUUAGCCAAAGAAUUCCCCUCUUUAUAGUACAGCUAUCUAUCCUAAAUGUGAUCACACCCUCUAUAGUGUCUUGAUCACCAAAACUAAAACCCUAAGCAAUACCUUUGCCUUGAUCUCCAUAUGUUUUUGUUUUUCUCUUUCGUCAUCUUGUGGUCAUCACCAUCAUCACCAUGAUCAUCACUUGCUCCAUCACUUGGCAUGUAUCAACCUCAUUAAGUCUACACACACUUAGUAUAGAGGUUAGUACUAGGGUUUCAUCAAUUAUCCAAAACCAAACUACGGCUUUCACCUUCAACUCUACAUAGUCCAUUGUAGCCAAAGCCCAAGUUUGAUUUUGGUAAUUAAUGACACCAAAUUGCUAAUGCCAUUGUGUUAAAGUGGUUUGAGUUAGGCAUAACAACACAAGUGAUCAAGGAGCAAAGUUCCAUGGAGGUGUGACCACUUGAUCACAAAGAAAUGAAGCAUGUACAUGGAAAUGAAGAUCAUGUUAUUCAAGCACUUGGUGGUGCACAAGGAGUAAAGUGAUCAAGGCAAAGAUAUAAUCAUAAGGUUUUGCUUUUGCCGGUCCAAGAUGAGUAGAGAAGUGAUUGGCUAGAUUUAGGAUAGAUAGCCGACUAUCAAAAGGGAAAAUCAUAGUCAUCUCUUGAAUCAAGUGCUACUAGGUCAACAUCUUGAGUACUUGCGUUAGGAUCUAGUAAAUGCUAACAUAACUCCUUUGAAGAAAAUGAUCGUGAAAUUACUAAAAUGCAUGCACACAAUGGUUCACACAUGGUGGUGUUGCCACUUUUGCAAAGGAGGUGGAGUUUGAGGGGUAGAGAGGUGUUUGGGAUCCUCUCUCCCUCCCACCAAGCUUGUGAGGUGAUAUUCAAUGUUUUCAUGGAAAUGAAUUGCCUAUUUUCCAUUACACCAAAGACGAAGUUGAAGAGGAUGCGAAGUCACGUGGACGCUGGGUUAGACAGCGUAAGAUGUUGAGCCCAUGUCCGAUGAGUGCAGCGUAGUAAGACGCAAAUGGCCAUGCGCGUUGGAGCGUCUUACUCCUUGGCAUCGGUGCGUCAGAUACUCUGUUGACGGUCCUUAAUGCUCACAUUUAACCGUCAACUAAUCAUGGAAAAGGAUCCAAUACAACUGACACCCAGACUUAGGGUUUUAUCUGACAGAAUUCCACGAGUUUUGGUGUUUGUCUAUUUCUACAGGGGGUUAUCAGGAAAUACGGAGAAAAGGCCCACACGUCGGGUUUACAUAGAGAUAUUAACGUGCCGCGCAAUUUUCUAUCAUCUAGAGGACUCCAGAAGCCACGGGAACGAAGCGGAGGCAGAACGGGGCCUCGCCCAGGGCGCCCGCCCACCUUCUGUGCCCAAUCAGAGUCCUUUUCGGGAUCAUGCUCCACCGACCUAAGGGAUCAAGGAAAACCGUGCGAUUAAUGUUGGUUUGAUUCGACGGCCCAGUUUCAUCUUAAAAGAAUAUAUAAGCAAGGCCCCCUGGCCCCUGGAGGCAUACCUCUUCUACAGAAUCAAAGCUAAGGUUUCAAUUCUUCAUCCAAGUAGAGAGGAUCCCUCUGGUUCAUCUAGUUCUAGUUCUAGUUCUAGUUCUAGUUGUAGUUCCUCUAGUUCUAGUUCUAGUUAGUUCUAGUUGUAAUCUAGAAAAUAGAGAGAGAAGAGGAGAGCGGAGGAGGAGCCGAAUCUGUCCGAUCUUCCUCAACAUUAUACUUUUGCUGUAACUGGUUCGUUCUUCAUCGUUCUCCAAGUUCUUCAAUUCAUAAUUCCUGAGUUCUUUAAUUACUUUUAUUUACAUUCAAGUUAUUUAUUGGAUUCCCGCUUGCAUCAAGAGCUCUAGUAUUUAUAAUGCUAGAGUAGUAAUUAAUAGAUUAGACGUGGUGUUUAGUCUUGCAAUUACCUGAAAUUGCACCCAAUCCUGCGGAUUGUUGUGGUAGCCCUAGGGUAGUGACAACCCUAACGGUCGACGUAAUCCACCUCGUUCGGAUCGGUGUUUAUAGGACCGUAGUCAGAGCUUCCUAGCCCCCUUCUCAUCUCUUUCUGUGGUUAGUGUGCUGAUGUCCCGAAAUAAAUAAUCUUUGAAGUAAUUCUUGAUUCUUAGAUCAACUAGAGAACUCUCAGGAAACUUCCUCUCUUCCCUCCAAAAAUAAUUAUAUAGUUAUCCUUGGGCGAUCUUGAAUCUUAAUUAGUACACUCACGUUCUCUGUGGAAAAUCGAUACUCUGGAAUACUCCUGGGUGAAAGCUACAUCGGUAUCCGUGCGCUUGCGGAUUUUUCUGUUUGCGUUUAAAAUACCCAACAAGCUUUCUGGCGCCGUUGCCGGGGAACGGUAGCUGUGCUAGUUUCGAACCAAGUCGUCCGUGUAUCCUUUUCCUUUUCCUUUUUUUACCACAUUCACCUUACCAUUUUCACCACACCACAUGGAUUUCACUCCAAGCAUUAAUGAGCAUGGAAUUUAUUUCAUAGCCACUUCAUUUACUCCAUGCUCAUAUGUAAUAUCUUCACAAUCCAUUGGUCUCUCCAACAUCACCACAUUCGAGAUCUCCAACCCCCUUCUUCCUUUCUAUUUAUAAAAAGGGCAGUUGUUGAUGCAUAUGUCUAUAAUAAAUUCUGCAGAUCUCGUUGAGUUGAUCUUGGUAUAGGUCAGCAUUGGAGGGGAAACCACUUCGCAGACAUAAAUUGAUGGUUUUCCAAGGACAAGCUUAGUUUCCUAAAAUAAGCACUCAUCAGAUCAUAACAUGAGCUUUUAAUAUUUGCAACAUUACCUUGUGUGUUGAGCAUAUAAGGAUAGUUGUAAAAAAAUUCCUUCGGGUAUUCUUGUCACUAACCUUUCCAGGAUUGGAGCAAGAAGAUCAGAUGAAUGACAAGCACAAGGUAUGUCCAACCAAUCUUCAUACAACAUUGAAUUAAAUUCAUCCAAACUUGAAUUUUCCAAAAUUCAAGCUUGAGGGAGUACUUUACAUAAAAACAUCCUUUGUUAUGUUGCUAUGUUGGUUGUCCCUACCUUUGAGACAUGCUCAAUUUGUUAAAUACUAAUCACACUACAUCUCCACUUGAGUAAAACUCUAUAAAUGCUCUCAUGCUACCUUUAUUUGCUUUAGUAUAUGUCUAGGUUUGGAGUAGUUUCAUUUAUCUCUUAAUUAAGCAUGGUGCUUAGUUAGGAAUGUUGAUCUUACUUCCAAGGGAUUUUAAAUUAAGCAUGGUGCUUAGGUUAAAAUGUCCUCCUAAAUCAAAUUAGACAUGGUGUCUAGGUUGAUUUUUGAGCCGAUAGUAUGCCAUAGUAGAUAUGGGAUAUUCUGUUGGACUAACCCCUGCACGAAAACUUUCAAUAUUGACCUGGGAAGUCCUGAGAUAAACUAACAUUGGAGACAAAGAGAGACACAUGAAGUUUAACAAUUUACACAAGGAAGGCAUAGCUCACAAGAGAUGAUCCAUGGAGGGUGCCACAAACACGAUGCACAAUCGCUAAGAAAGGAAAGCGUCCACAAGGUGAUGCUGUACCAUCACUCUCCAAGUAAGGUAACAUCUUAAGGUACUUGACUAUCACAUUUAUAAGCUUUUCCUUGGUUCUAGCGUUCACAUGAAUAAAAGAGACAAACAUGUAUGAUUUACACCUCUAGAUUAACCAACCAAGUCGAUUCAAUAUGUUUAGUCCUUCCACCUUUGUGAUCCCACACUCCUAAUCAUAUGAGCUAAAAUGUUGCACACGCAAUCUUUGGAAGAUAUAUAUAAAAAACAUAAGUAUAGAUAGAUUAUCUUUCCAUUAGGUUGAGCGAUUUGAUCUGACAAAUGUUUUAAAUGCUACACUCAUGAUCUUAUUAUCCAUCAACUUUGCCUUGCUCACUAUGCUUAAGGUUAGAGAAGAACAAAUACACUUCUGGUUCUGUUGGUGUUUUCCACCAACAGGGCCCAUGCACUUGAUCUCUGCCUUGUCUCUAUGAGCAGGUACACUUCAAGCAAAAUAUGAAGGAUUUUUUACAACUCCUAGACUCCACCAAGUGAAGAACCUAGAUCUACGAGCACAAACACACUGGAGAUACUGGACACUCAGGCAAUCACUGCCCUGAGAUGCUUGACGACGUAAACUACACCAAAAAAACCAACUACUACUACUACAACCGUCCUCAACAAAAUCAAGAGAGGCGAUCCAGGAUGCCCUGUCAUCCCGAUCUCCAUCGGCAUGGUGGACUUCCCAGAAGUACUCUGCGACUUUGGCUCCAGCGUCAACAUUAUGCCCAGGGUACUCUAUGAAAAAUUCUUUACACAUCCUUUACGAGAAACAACCAUAUAUUUGCAGCUUGAAGAUCAGACACUAAGUUUCCCAAAGGGAAUAUUGAAGAACCUCUACGUCCGAGUUGGUACCUUAUACGCAACAGCAGACUUCGUGGUGAUAGAGACUGAUACUGAUGAGAGGGCACUCAUCAUCCUAGGGAGGCCAUUCCUGAACACCUCGGGAGCUGUCAUCUACGCUAGUACUGCCAAGAUCAGUUUCUACAUCAAGGAGAAGAAGGAGACGUUUUCCUUCGAGAACAAGAUUACACAAAUCUCAGAGCAAUCCCGACAUGAACCAAGGAAGAGGACCAACAGGAGGAACAGGAACAAGCAAAUGUGGACCGAGUCAGCUAAGAUGGUCACUGCAGUUCAACGAGGUCAAGAUCGUUGACUUGAGUCACCGUUCCUGACCAAAAAGGACGACCCAGGUAUGCCAAGCAUCCAGUGCUCCAUUAAUGGAUACAACUUCCAGAAGACGCUUUGCGAUACCGGGUCGGGCGUCAACAUAAUGGCCGCAGUCACCUAUCAGCUCCUGUUCAGAACCAUGCCUCUAAAACCGACAUACAUUCAGCUCCAGAUGGCAGAUUAGACAUUCCGAAAGGUUGAAGGUAUAGUAACUGAUGUCCCUGUCAAAAUAGAUGAUAAUUUUAUCUAUACAGAUUUUCAGGUUAUUGACAUGGGAGAAGACGAGUAAGAUCCACCCAUCAUCCUUGGGAGACCGUUCCUCAGCACCGUUAAAGUAAUCAUCUACAUUGGAACCGGAGAAGUCCACAUGCACUUCCCCUCUGAGAAGGUACGCCGCUAUUUUACUGACCCUAACUAUGUAGUUGAAGACUCUAAGCAGGUCAGGACAAGAAGAAGACGACGCAAUCGCAACCAGAGGAGGCAAAUCAUCAAGGACGGAUGGGCAGACUACGAAGGAGAACUGGUAAGGUCUGAAGACAUACAACUUGAACAGAACUGUCCUAAGGAGAUCGUAGCACCGAGUCAGGUGUGUAGAGAGAAGAUAGUUAUACAUGAAGAGCAGGCGCCGCCGGAACUACCGACUACGCCAUCCAGCGAAUCCCAGGACGAUUGAGAAAACGAAGAGUCCCGUUCGGAGGACUUAAAAACACCGAACGCCUUGCCAAGAGGUAAACUUGGUAGUUAUCCUUUUCCUUUGAAUUAUUUAAAAUAGUUUGCUUAAUUAAUCAGGUUCAUAUCAUCUUGAAAAGAAAAUAAAAAUGUUAAAAAUAGUAAGCCCCAUGUGAGUAUGCUCAUGGCAUAAAACCCAUAAGUACAUUCACUCUGGUGGCAUAAAAUAAAAUAAAUAUAUUUAUGUGCUAUAAAAAUAAAAAUAUAAAAAUAAAUUUAUGAUCCUACCAAAGAGUGUAACAUUUAUUGAGGAGGCUCAAUAUGAUAAAGGCUAGAUAUUUAUGCUAACACUUAACUAGUUCCACAAAGCUUUGUUGUCUAUUUGAGCUCCACAGAAUUCAAGGAUCAAAGAAGACUCGCAGACGGAGGACAUCCUAAUCGCUGUCAGGGUGCUGCCGACAUUCAAAAACACCUCUGCCACCUGCUAGCUACAUCAGGAGAAAUUACGUCAAAAUCCAGCUUGGGGGAGAGCAACCCACUUGUCCAGCUAAGUGUUUUACUCAUGUUUAUACUUUACUCAAAUAAUAAAAAGUUGCAUAAUCAUAAAAACCCAAAUAAAGAUUUUGUGCUUAUAUAUAUAUAUAUCUUUGCUUAUUUUGCUAAAUAAAUAAAUAAAUAAAAUUUGCUAUGAACCUUCGUGAUAAGCUCUCAUAUGGAAUUGAUGAAUAGUUGUUAUGCCAUGACAAGUUCUCAAAAUUGAAAUCUCUCUCAAGUUUAGGCAUGACUAUUAUUAAUUAAGAUUUGCUCUAAACCUAAACUUGUGGGAAGAGUACUUAUCUAAAGUCUAAGUUGUUAACGGAUAUGAUAUGGGAAGGUUGAGCUGCUGUUUAUCUGUUCCUAGAGAUGCUAGAAUUCUAGAGAAUUUUAUCUUUGAAAAUCUUUAAAAUAUCACAUGAUGAGUUCCUGUAUGAUGAGAGUUUAAAAUCCUACCAUAGCCAUAUACACAUGCUUAUUAGACUAUGAACCAUUCAUUUAGUUUACUGCUUAUGAGCAUUGAGUGUGGUCAAGCUGUGUAGACCCUUAGGAGCUUGUCAUGUGGUUAAAUCAAGAUUCACUUGCACGUUCACUCACACAUACUGCUUCUACUCCGGAAGUACGCAUCCACAUAUAUCCACCCAUUUCCAUCUCCAGAACCACCGAAAAAUAUUCUACUCUUAAUCCGGGAUAGAAUAGCCAAAAACAUUCUCCUAUUUCUGUUUUCCCCUGUGAAAUAAAUGCUCAAGUUAUUUCGGUUACUACUACUUGGUACAUUAUUUAAAGAGGUGAGUGCUCUAAAAAAAGAAGAUACGAGAAAAUAAAAAGGGGCAAGUGCCCGGAACCUCGAAAGAAAAGAAAAAGUGAGACGAGAGGUAAAAAUGGACAAGUGUCCGACACUAGAAUUAGGGGUACAAGAUACCCACCUGAGAGAAAAGAAAAAGAAAAUAUAGAGCAUCUCAUUCUCCUCAAAAGCCUCAAGUGCAAGGAAGGUAUGUACCCCCUCAAAAGAGCAAAAGUAGAAUUAGACUUCCACCAUUAUUUUCACCAUUAUCACCAUUCAUUAGCCACACAUGCACACCUUGAUUUGACUUAUUGACUCGUUCUUCUGGAUCCAUGGUUUGACUAUGCAAUAAAUGUCUUGUAAGUAUGUAUUAGCUGUCUCCCACCUAUGAGCUUCAGAUAUCAAAACCUUAUUAGAGUAGGGUGAGAGAGAAGGCAAUGCCAUUAUGCCUCAUACCAAAAAUACCACAUAGUUUGAGAGAAGGCAUACACCAUUACUGCCUUGGUAAGGAUCAGAAAUACCACAAAAGAGAGACUAGAGAGAAUCAUACAAGGAAUCUCUGAGUUUUAUUUGAAAAUCUGCAAAAACUCCAGAGCUAUAGUUAAUCGAAGAACAAGAGACAUGGCAUUUGACUAGACCGUUCUAUCUUUUAACUGCUCAAGACACAAGUAACGGUUGCAAGCUCCAUGGUGGAAGGAAAAAUGAGUAAGUUUAAAUCUUAACAGUUUACCCUAACCCAGAGAUGAGAUCUUGUUUGAACGCAUGUAUAUCUUUAAGGCAUGAAACCACUGCAGAAACUCUUAAGUUCAUCUUUGCUCAGGGACGAGCAAAGGUUAAGCUUGGGGGAGCUUGUUGACGGUCCUUAAUGCUCACAUUUAACCGUCAACCAAUCAUGGAAAAGGAUCCAAAUGCAACUGACACCCAGACUUAGGGUUUUAUGUGACAGAAUUCCACGAGUUUUAGUGUUUGUCUAUUUCUGCAGGGGGUUAUCAGGAAAUACGGAGGAAAGGCCCACACGUCGGGUUUACAUAGAGAUAUUAACGUGCCGCGCAAUUUUCUAUCAUCUAGAAGACUACAGAAGCCACGAGAACGAAGCGGAGGCAGAACGGGGCCUGGCCCAGGGCGCCCGCCCUAGAGACCAGGGUGCCCGCCCACCUUCUGUGCCCAAUCAGAGUCCUUUUCGGGGAUCAUGCUCCACCGACCUAAGGGAUCCAGGAAAACCGUGCGAUUAAUGUCGGUUUGAUCCGACGUCCCAGAUUCAUCUGAAAAGACUAUAUAAGCAAGGCCCCCUGGCCCCUGGAGGCAUACCUCUUCUACAGAAUCAAAGCUAGGGUUUCAAUUCUUCAUCCAAGUAGAGAGGAUCCCUCUGGUUCAUCUAGUUCUAGUUCCUCUAGUUCUAGUUCUAGUUGUAAUCUAGAAAAUAGGGAGAGAGAAGAGGAGAGCGGAGGAGGAGCCGGAUCUGUCGAAUCUUCCUCAACAUUAUACUUUUGCUGCAACUGGUUUGUUCUUCAUUGUUCUCCAAGUUCUUCAAUUCAUAAUUCCUAAGUUCCUUAAUUACUUUUAUUUACAUUCAAGUUAUUUAUUGGAUUCCCACUUGCAUCAAGUGCUCUAGUCUUUAUAACGCUAGAGUAGUAAUUAAUAGAUUAGAUGUGGUGUUUAGUCUUGCAAUUACCUGGAAUUGCACCCAAUCCUGCGGAUUGUUGUGGUAGCCCUAGGGUAGUGAUAGCCCUAACGGUCGACGUAUUCCACCUCGUUUGGAUCGGUGUUUAUAGGACCAUAGUCAGAGCUUCCUAGCCCCCUUCUCAUCUCUUUGUGUGGUUAGUGUUCUAAUGUCCCGAAAUAAAUAAUCUUUGAAGUAAUUCUUGAUUCCUAGAUCAACUAGAGAACUCUCAGGAAACUUCCUCUCUUCUCUCCAAAAAUAAUUAUAUAGUUAUCCUUGGGCGAUCUUGAAUCUUAGUUAGUACACUCACGUUCCCUAUGGAAAAUCGAUACUCUGGAAUACUCCUGGGUGAAAGCUACAUCGGUAUUCGUGCGCUUGCGGAUUUUUUUGUUUGCGUUUCAAAUACCCAACAUACUCGUGGGCACAGAGGCGCAUCUGAUGCCCUAGUGUCUAACACGUCAGGUGCAAGCUCUAGGGUUUGAGACCCUUAGCGUCCGGUGUAAGGAGAUGUGUGUGACACGUUUGAUGUGAGCUGCAGUUGUUCAUUAAGUUUUCCAGUGACCGUUGAAGAUCAACCGGUCACAUUCAAAGAGUGACACGUGGUAGAAAUCUAAUGUGCAAGGCAGACAAACAUUAGAUGCUAGGCUCCGUCUGAUGUGCAAGCAUUUGUGCGCGUCUGAUGCCCUCGUAUUUGCUCCUAAAGGCUAGCACAUGAGUGAAAUGUUAUAAAUAGAAGGUGGCUGAGUUUAGGGAGCUCUCUCUAGCCAAUAUGUAUACUCGAGGCAUACUUUGAGCUAGAGAAUAUCCUUUCCACUAAUCUCCUUGCUUGAUUGUUCACCCUAGUGAGAUUCAAAUGCAUCGCAUUGAGAAUUACAUCUAGCGGCACUUGGUCCUUGAGUUGGCUAUGAUUUUCUUGUUAUUCUUAGGUGUUUCUCGACACCCGAGAUGGCUUGGAGCAACGGUGGUGUUGAGCUCAUGAUUGAAGAAUAUUUUGAGCCUCACCAAGUGAUUUGUGAGGGGUUUUGAGCAUUCCUUGUGAGAGAUGACAAUUGGCUACUCUUGUGGAUUACUCAUGGCUUGGAGGAUCCCCAUCUUAUGAGUGGAUGUGUGGCACCCGCUGAGGGUUUGGCUUUGGAUUGCUAAUUAGCUCAUGAUCCAUCAAGUGGGUGUAUUGCCACAACGAGAACUAGCUUGCUGGGAAGCAAGUGAACCUUGGUAAAAAAUUAUAUGUCAUCUCUUGUCGAAGAUUUUGUUGACACCGUUUUUGGACACGUGCACGGGGACCAGUAGAGUACAGAUCGGCAGAUGGAGCAAUGGUAACUAGACUGCAGAAGAGUUGCCGAUGAAGAGGGUUGCCGAUUAAGAAGAUUGCCGAUGGCUCUGAAAGGGAGCGCGGAGGUUGCCGAUUGGCCCGUAGUGGUGUCCUGGUUGGUUAUAGGGGGAUAGUUUUACGUUUUCCUUAGUUAUUUAAAUUUGUUUUGUAUACGGAUUCUGUUUAAUUUGAAAUUCGAGUCCUAGUCAUGUCUGAUUGUAGCUCUUUGAGCAGGGUAUAAAUGUAGACCCUAGGGCCUUGUAAUGAACAUCUAUCAAUCAAUCAAACACAAGUUUUUACUCAUAUUCCAGCAUCUACUUUUUCGACGACUUCGUCAUAUUUUCCCUUUUUACUACGAGUUCUUAGGAAUUCGUUGACUUAAGCUCAGCGUAUUCUCGAGUUCCGCGUGAAUACCUCUUGGCUGUGACAUCCGGGCACAUCGCUGUUGUCAGGACUAAAGUAUUCGAGUUAUCACCUUUGCCGAUAGUAAGGUCAAAUCGGCUGGCAAGCCUUAACGUUUGAAUCGGGUAUUAGCUCUUUGUGUUUGCAGAUCCACUUUUGCAUCAACACAUCUUUUGGCAUGCCUAGUGGGACUCUAGAUUCAAGAUCAAGAUCAAUAUGUCGACUACCGAGUUCGAUAUGGAGAACGUCAUCCCGGUGACGGAAGCCAAUCUCAGAGAUGAGCAGAAGCAAACUAUUGCAAAAGCCAUGAAGGACUACAAGCAGCAAUGUUUGAAAUCCUUCAGCAUAAAUAGGAGCGGCGAGGUGAUCCAGAAGGAGGCACUGCCGGCACCUUGGCAGGUUACUUUUGACGCCAAUCCUCGUAAACUCCAAGACAUGGUUGACAGUGCUAUUAACCGUGCCUUGAUCAAUCAAGCUGGUGUAUUGUCCAAUACGGUUUUCAAUGCCGUGGCUAGAACUUUCAAAGAGGGACAAUUGCCACCAAAUUAUGUGGGCCCUUCUCAUCAUCAGCCAGGAUCACCGGUGGUCACAGCUCCAUCGGUUGCUGUAGGCGCUGUGGGCAUAGAAACUGCUAUUCCUCCAAGCACGUUGGGAGUUACUAAUACACAAUCCACACCGAUGCUAACCAAUCCAUCAACUUUAUAUGAGCAAAUCAAACUUGCUACAGAUCUAUUCGCAUCGGUGAUGUCGGGAUCGGUUCCUCCUCCUAACUGGUGGGGUCAUGGUAUGCCCCUAGGGUUGACAUUGAAGACACCUGGCGCAUCUCAGACGGCUGAUGUAAGAGGUAAGGCUCCUAUGGCAUCGACAGCUCCAAAUUUGCCGAUGAAUCAGAGUCUCCAGUAUACUACAACUACUACUGCAAGACCUUACACUGGGAAUUCUCAAGCUCCAACGUUCCAGAUGCCUAACGCAUCGACAGAUUCAAUGCCGACGCAGCAGAGGUUUAUGAUUCAGCCAGAGUAUGUCAACUCAAUGAUGAUGCCCAAUUACCAGUCAUCGGUAGGGUCUAUGCCGAUGAAUGUUAACAGUGGAUGGACAGGGCAGUGAGUCUUUCCACAGAUGCCUCAACAGAAUCAUCAGGCCACAGGGUUUCAGCAAGGCCAGAUCCAACCUAGGUUCCAAAAUCAAGGGUUGGUCAACCAGCCGAUGAAUCUUGGCCAGCAGAUUGGUGGUCAACAGAUCGGUGGUCAGCAGAUUGGUGGUCAACAGAUCGGUGGUCAGCAGGUUGGUGGUCAGAUGAUUAACCCAAUGUUCCAUGUAGACCGCACACCGUAUAGACACGUGGAAGCCUAUCAGCAGGUGCUAGAUCCGCAACCGCCUCAUCGGCAAGAUGUCGAUGCUUAUUGGGCCGAUAAGAUUACUGAAGUAAUGAGGGACCAAUUUGGGAUAAAGCCCAAAGUUAACACUUACUCUUAUCGGACACCGUAUCCUCCUGCAUACGAUUUAAUUCCACUUCCAAAUCGGUACAAGGUACCAGAUUUCACUAAGUUUUCUGGACAGGAUGAUACAUCAACCAUGGAACAUGUCAAUAGGUUCAUCAUCUAAUGUGGAGAAGCUGCUAACAGAGAUGAGUUAAGGGUUCGCUUGUUCUCAUCAUCUUUAUCUGGAUCGGCUUUCACCUGGUUUAUUUCAUUGCCUCCUAACUCAGUGAUUACUUGGGCCGAUCUAGAGAAGCAAUUCCACAAAUACUUCUUUUCUGGAGUUCAUGAGAAGAAGAUUACUGAUUUGGUUAAAUUGAAACAACGCAAUGAUGAAUCGGUUGAAAGUUUUGUGCAGAGAUUGCGGGAGGUCAAGAACAAAUGCUAUAGUCUGGUUUUGGACGAUCGGCAGCUAGCCGAUUUGGCUUUCCAGGGUUUGUUGCCACACGUCAGGGACAAGUAUGUCUCUCAAGAAUUCGAAAGCUUAAGUCAUUUGGUGCAGAGAAUUUCUGAUCAGGAUAUCAGACCUUUCGAGCCCAAGAGAGCAUGGAACAAAAAAGUGUCAUUUGUUGAUGAAGCAACAGAUUCAGAUUCUGAUGAGGAGCCAGUCAUCGGUUUGGCAGACUGGGUAAAAAACAAGAAGCCGAUGACUUGCCCUUUUGGGCAUAAAGAGCCGGAGAAGUUUGCAUUCGAUAUCACUAAAGCCGAUAGAAUAUUUGACUUUCUACUUCAGGAAGCCCAGAUCAAGUUGUCACCCAAUCACGUGAUUCCAUCGGCUGAGGAAUUGAAGAAAAUGAAAUAUUGCAAGUGGCAUAAUGCGACUUCUCACAGCACCAAUGAGUGCAAGGUUUUUAGGCAACAGCUGCAAUCGGCUAUAGAGUCUGGGAGAAUAAAGUUUGAUAGUUCUAAAGCUCAGAAGCCGAUGAAGAUUGAUCAACAUCCUUUCCCAACAAAUAUGUUGGAUGCUAAGGGAAAGACCAAGGUUUUAACAUCAGAAGCGGCUGAAAAGAGUGCAUCGGUAGAUCCUCAGCACCACAUUACUCCUACCGAUGCCAAAGGAAAAUGUCUGAUCCUAGAAGGAUCUAACUCGGGAAGGCCUCCCCGAUCCGGUAUUGUGAUAACUCAUAGAAGGCCUCGGGAGACUUGGCAGCAACGUGAAGAUCGGUAUCGGCGCUAGCAAGAAGAUUAUCAUCGGGAAGAAGAAAGACGCCGACGGGAGUGGAAUCGGCACAAGGAUCACUGGAACUACCCGUUCUUUAUCCAUUGCUGGGAGCAGAACAUUAAACUGCUCACUGUUAGGGAUUGCCCUGAAUGCAAUGGCUAUGAUCGGUAUGACAGGUCUUAUCGGCGCUACCACGAUGAUGAUCGGCGGUUUAAUGGGCCGAUUAGGGGGAGAGCGUCAGUUCAUGAUCGGCUUAGAGGCAGACUCAGUGUACACGACAGGCUUGGUGAUCGUGUUGCAUAUUUUCCCAGGAACCAAGAAGAGCUCGAAGAGAUGGCUAAUGCACAAGUUCCCGAUGAGUUCGUAUUUUGCAGGGAUGCCAAUACUCAUCGGAUGGAGCCAAGAGAACAUCGUCGUCCAUCGGCAAGGCAGUCACCAUUUCCCCCAUGGUGUCCAGAGGGAUUGACUAAGACACAGAAGAGGAGACUGCAGCAUGAGAGACGAGAAGAGCUAAGCAAGGGCGAAAACUCUGGACAGUCUGAUCAACAGCAGCCGGAUCCAAAGGGAAAGGGACCAUCGGCAGGUGUCAACAUGGUAUUUAUGUUGCCGAUGGAAUUCCUUGCGCCAUCCAGUGAUGACGAGGAGUUGGAGUUUUCCGACCAGAUAGCUCAGUUGGCUGUAGAUCCGAUGACACCUAUCUUUGAAAAGCCUACCGACAAUGAAAGGCAGCAUCUUAAAGCUCUAUUUGUCAAAGGAAGAGUUGAUGGUCAGCCGAUGACCAAGAUAUUAAUUGAUGGAGGAGCUGCUAUCAACAUCAUGCCAUACGCAGUUUAUCGGAAGCUUGGAAAAGGGGAUCAAGAUUUGACCAAGACCGAUAUGAUGCUGAAGGACUUUGAAGGGAAUGUAUCUCCGGUUAAGGGGGCUGUUGAUGCAAAACUGAUCUGCAAACACAAAGGGCUAAUACCCGAUUCAAAUGUUAAGGCGUGCCAGCCGAUUUGACCUUACUAUCGGCAAAGGUGAUAACUCGAAUACUUUAGUCCUGACAACAGCGAUGCGCCCGAAUGUCACCGCUAAGAGGUACUCACGCGGAACUCGAGAACACGCCGAGCUUAAGUCGACGAAUUCCUAAGAACUCGUAAUAAAAGGAAAAAGUAUGACGAAGUCGUCGAAAAGUAGAUGCUGGAAUAUGAGUAAAAACGUGUGUUUGAUUGAUUUCUUGAUUGAUGAUCUAUUACAAGGCCCUAGGGUCUACAUUUAUACCCUGCUCAAAGAGCUACAACCAGACAUGAUUAGAAUUCGAAUUCCAAAUUACACGGAAUCCGUAUACAAAACGAUGCAAAUAAUUAAGGAAAUAACAAAACUAUCCCUCAUGACAAACCAAAACUCCUCCACAUAACGACCGGCAGCUUCCGGACUCCCUCUUUGCAUCAUCGGCAGACCCUUUGCCAUAGUCAUCGGCAGACUUUCUUAUCUAGCCAUCGGCACCAUAUUACUGCCUGUGGACUUAAUCACGUUCAACCUCUCCCUCAUCGGCAACCAUCCUCAUCGGCAACCCACUUUGUAAACAUCGUACUGCCACCUUAUCCUGCCAUCCCAGACACGUGCCCAAAAACGGUGUCAACACAUGCCCCCCAGUUUCGGAGUAUAAAACUAUUAAUGCUCCGAAAUUCUCUGCAGUAAUGAUGCCUUUUCCCGCAAUUAAUGCUCCUAAUCUGGUAACCAACAACCUCAAUCUGAACAACUCUGAUCCUAUUCCUCCGCAGAUUUCUCGAAAUCCCCAACUUUCUAAACGGGCAUUUUUCUCAGCCGUACAUCGGCAACAAUACCGUUACAAAGAUCUGCCGAUGUUCUGACCAGGAUAUUCGCACAAACGGUUACUUCCCCUCUAUCCGCCCAUCGGCAAUAUGACCGUUGUAGAAUAUUGCCGAUGGACCGACCAGGAGAUCUCGCACAGUAAAAUAUCUUCAGAUAAUGACCGCUUCCUGUCAAAUCACCUGCACAAUCCCUAGAUUACCGUGCGAAUAGUUACCAUAUCCACCUGAGUACCCUCGGAUUUCUCGGAUGCGGCAAAGAGAUAAGUCGGAUUUGCCCUUGCCCAUUUUGUCCUAUAAAUAGUUCCUUCUCGGGUACUCCUUCCCCAUCACACCAUUCUACUACCCAACUUUACUUUUCCAGCGGCGGCGCCACCAAAAACUCCCAAGGUCUCCGACAAGUACCCCUCUUCACCAAUUCCGGCGCCUUCAAACGCUUCCUUCGCAGCAAGAUGGCCGUCGGGUUCGUCGUCCCUGAGGUCAAAUCUCCACCCCGUCUUCUGUAUUUUUCUUCAUAUCCCUAUUCACUCGCAAUCCAUUUUACUGAACAUCUUCCUUUUCUUUCCUCUUUGUAUUUCUUUUUACGCCCAAAAUCACUAGGAAUUGUCCAACAAAAUUGUCAUCCCCACCGAUCAACCACACCUUCAAUGCCUCGGCCCUCUAGGGGACCCAGAUCCAACUGACCUUAUCAACGCAGAAACCAACAGGAUCCCCUUCAGAGCCGAAAAUUUUUCCUUAGAUCUGUGGAAGGACACCUUCCGCUCUUGGCCCAGCCCAACUGUAGGGUGGAAAGACUGGUUCUUGAGGGUCAGCAACUCUAAUGAAGUUCAGUGGGGUGAAAGGAAUCUAGCCCAAUGCAUCAGAUUGUCCAUUGCCGAUAUGCAUAGAAACGAGUCACUGCUGAUAGCUGCAUCCUACUUUUGGUCAGACACCCUCAAUGCUUUUGCCUUUGGCCACGGCCCUGCUUCUCCUACUCUUGCCGAUGUAGCCAUGCUUACUGGUCUAGAUAUAUCUUCUACCGAUAGCACCCACUUUUUUGAUACUGCCCCUAGUGCCAAAGUGGAGACCCGCGCUAUCGGCGAUUGGUCGGGGUACAUUCAGAAGUACCGUGGGAAAGGAUCUGUCACCAUAAAGGAACAAACCACCUUUCUGAACAUGUGGCUGGACAAGUUUGUAUUCUGUGGUCGAUCGGCAGGACCGACUUCUGUCUACCUAUCGGCAGCAGAAAGACUGGCUAACGGUGGCCGAUUCCCUCUCGGCCGAUACUUGCUUGGCGCUGCUUACCACCUUCUCCAUCAAGUAGCCCAGAAACUUCUGCUCGGCCAAUCCACUGGCAAUUUGGGAGGCCCCUGGUGGUUUGUCAACAUGUGGCUCAAUCUGCAUCUGCACAAGCGUCUCAACUUCAACCUGUUCACACAGCGUUUCCCAAGAGAUAUAGCUGAAAACCAUGUAUUGGGUGAAGAGGAAUCGGCAACACGCGCCCCCUUGUACUUUGGCAAAGCUGUCAUAGUUCUGCCUGGUUCAGGGGGUAAUCCAGAUCAGAUCGGCCGAUUCUUCCAGACUCUGUAUGAGGGUUUGACCAGAGACGAACGACCAUGGUUGGCUUAUGAUGACCCAGAUAGCAUGCUCCCUCUGACCUUCAAUCCAUUUGAUGAAGCUCUCGACAGGGACAAUGAGGUGAUGAUGGCAAUUGUGACUCCCAGAAUCAUUCCAGUGAAUUUCUUUGGUAGCACAAAAACCUCCCCUCAAACUUACGAAUUUUACAAUCCAUCGGCAUUAGCUCGCCAGCUAGCUUUCGGCCAGUUGCCGAUUGCACUUCCUUAUGCCGAUGUGAUAAAACCCAGAGAAACUAUCAACAACCUUCUUGAGUGGACUCGAGCAGCCCAACUACCACCAAACGCCGAUAUAGAUGUAGAUCUGUCAGAAUGGGUCCCGGCUGCUUUUAUCACUCAGGCAUACAAGUUAUGGUGGGCAGAAUGGAAAGAGCAUCUGUUCUGUAGAUCGGCACUUUCAUUCCGCGGCAUGAUUGACUCCGAAUACGAAGUUCCUGAUGACACUGUAAGUAACUCAAACCAACGUUUCAUUUUCUCAAUAUUACCUCCAUUGGCAGCUUACCCUUGUAUUCCUUUUGCAGGUUGAUAAUAUUCCUCCGUUGGUUAGCAGGAGUGGCAGGCCGAUCGACUUGUUUCCAUCAGGCCCGAUUUCCUCAAUCGGCCACAAUGCUCCCACUCUAGCUUCCAUCGUGCAUCGGGGUGUACGUCUCAGGAAAGUCACCACCAGAAGAACCCAGACAUCACCAACGGUAGCUGCUCCCACUCUCGCGCGGGCUUUCAAGGCAAUUUGUCAAAUCUUUUCCUUUAUGCUGACCAUCUUUAUAUCGGCUAUAUUUAUGCUUAUAAACUCUUGUUCAUUAUUGCAGCAAACCGGCGCAUCGGCGAAAACCAGGCGUGAGAGUACCGAUGCCCCCAGUCUAGCCAACCCAAGAGAAAGGGCACCACGGGUGCUAAGACUGGAACAAAGCGCCAGAAGGUAGCAAUCCCCCCUCCUCCUCCGGUAUCUCCAAUUCCGGUGGAAUCUUCUCCUUCUUCUCCAGAAGCCCAGCCACAACAAGCACCAUCUCCCCCACCUAUGCGGGAAGCACCACAGAUAGAAGAACCCCAACAGGAAGGAUCUCAAACAGAAGAUACAUCAGUUGACAUGGGUGAACAAACAACUGGCCCGGUGGGUCUAGUUAUACCAUCGGCAGUUCUCCCGGUUCAAACAACCGUUGUCCCUCCUCCAGGUAACAUACUUUAACAAUAUCGCUACCGAUGAACUUAUUCUUAUUUAGUCUCAUAACUCCUUUUGUCUUCUUUCAGUUGAUAUUGUUCCAUCGGCAAUCUCAGCCGAUCAACCUGUAGCUCCAUCGGCAUCUUUGGCCGAUCAGCCUGCAGCUCCAUCAGCACUUCUCAGUCACAGACAAGAGAUCGCCUUGAAGCAAGUAAGUCACCGUUUACCGUUAGCACUAUUUGCCGAUUUUCUAAGUAUGAGCUAAUUUUGCUUUCCCUCCCAGGAACAAGAUUCUCCCGAUAGCCUGUUCUCCUUCGCCAUCAAUUUCUCUGAAGAAGAAGGUGAAGAAGCAAGCACUUCUUAGACGGUCGGCAUCACAUCGGCAGAGGUCAGGGUCAGGCUGGAAGAAUUGUCAGCUCUCCUUCACCAGGACACAGCGCAAUUGGUUGAUGACUCCGACCCUACCAAGACCCUGUUCAGAACUCUCAGAGGCCAAAUCCCAGCCGAUGUUGAAGAAAUCCUGUUCCAAGCCGCUCAUCUGGAGAGUCGCCAGCUGCAGUACCAAAGAGCUUCUCGGCGGCUUGCCGAUAGAGCCGCUCAGACUCAACUCUACGAUGAAAUGAGGAAAGAGAAGCUUUUGACCGAUGAGAAGCACAAGAACAUCGGUAUCCUGAGAUCUUCUGGAGACGCGCUGAAGCAGAAGAUAUCCGAUCUAUCGGCAAGAAAAGAGUCUCUGUUGGCGGAGCUCAAGGAAGUAGAGAACGCUCUGUCCCAAGCCCAACAGGAAGAGAGCCAAUUGCCAGAGACCAUCAGGCUUCUUGAGCGCGAGCGAAAUGCUCAUGGUCGCAAAGCACUCCAACUGAAGAAGAAGCUGAAGCCGAUAGAAGGUUCUGCCGAUGAUGACAUCAAGGAGAUAGAAGCAGCCAACCAAAUUCGGCUACGCGCUAUAUCGGCAAUCCAGACGCUGCUUAACACAUAGAGUUUCCAUCGGCAUUGUAUCCUCAGCUUUUAGUCUAGCCAAUAGGACUGUUAUCGGCGCCUAAACUUUUGAAACACCAAGUCUCGUCCCUAAGCAUUUGGAUCCAGCCGAUAGGAGUGUUAUCGGCACCUAAACUUCUAUGCAUCGACCCAUAUACUGGGGUAGUACUUCUUUAAAUAUUUGCCGUUUAAUGCUCUGGGAAAUUCAAUUCCUUCGAGGGUUUCUAGAAUGUAGGCAUUACCAGGAGCCGAUCGACUUAUCCGAUAAGGACCCUCCCAAUUAGGAGACCACUUUCCAAACUUCGAACUUUUGGUCCCAAUUGGUAAAAUUACUUUCCAUACCAAAUCCCCAUCGGCAAACUCUUUAGCCUUCACUUUCUUAUCAUACCAUCUAGCAACUCUCUUCUUAUUUUCUUCUAUACUCAUUAAAGCUUUUAACCGAUGCCCUGCUAGAUCAUCCAAUUCAUCGGUCAUCAAAGUGGCAUAAUCGUCGGAAGUUAAUUGAUCUUGAAAAGAUAAUCGCCUAGAUCCAGCCUUAAUUUCCCAAGGCAACACUGCAUCAUGUCCAUACACCAAUUGAUAGGGUGAUACCUUGGUCGAUCCAUGACAAGCCAUCCGAUAAGACCAUAAUGCUUCAUUUAAUAAUGUAUGCCACCGCCUAGGAUUUUCUUCAAUCUUUCGUUUAAUAAGCUUGAUAAUUCCUUUGUUAGACGCUUCGGCCUGCCCAUUGGCUUGAGCGUAAUAAGGAGAAGAAUUCAACACUUUAAUUCCCAUACCGAUUGCGAAUUCAUCGAACUCCCCCGAUGUGAACAUGGUGCCCUGAUCGGUAGUAAUCGUUUGGGGAAUCCCAAAUCGGUAAACAAUAUGCUCCUUCACAAAAUCAAUCAUAUUUGCCGAUGUGACUUUCUUCAAAGGAAUAGCUUCAACCCACUUAGUGAAAUAGUCAGUGGCAACUAGAAUGAACUUAUGCCCUUUGCUAGAUGGUGGAUAAAUCUGGCCGAUCAGAUCGAUGGCCCAUCCCCGGAACGGCCAAGGCUUUAUUAUAGGAUUCAUAGCCGAUGCGGGUGCUCUCUGGAUAUUACCAAACUUUUGACAACCUUGACAUCCCUUGAAAUAUUUAAAACAAUCUUCAAGUAUGGUCGGCCAAAAAUAUCCAUUCCUUCGAAUCAUCCACUUCAUCUUAAAAGCUGACUGAUGCGCUCCACACACUCCUUCAUGGAUUAACCCCAUCAAACCUCUAGCUUCAUCAUCACCCAAGCAUCGGAGAAGAAUUCCGUCGAUAGUUCGAUAAUACAAUUCAUUUUCAAGGAGCACAUACUUGGUUGCUUGAAAUCGAACCCGUCUUUCAACUUUUUUGGAUGGAUCUGUUAGAUAAUCAAUAAUUUCUUUCCUCCAAUCACCGGCACCGACUGCCGAUGUCGCAUUAAUCAUUGGCUGAUAUCCCGAGGCAUGCUGAGCUAACCGAUUAGCGUCUUCAUUAUGCAAUCGGGGAACAUGCUCCUAUCGGAAAUCCUUGAAUUCCUUUAACAGUUGCAUACUUCUCUCGAAAUAAGUUAUGAGAACUUCACUUCGGCAUUCAUAGCUUCCGGGCAAUUGAUUUAUAACCAACAUAGAAUCCCCGAAUAUUUCAACAGCAUCAGCAUGAACUUCUCUUAACAACUCCAAUCCCUUGAUCAGAGCUUGAUACUCAGCCUGAUUAUUUGUUGAUGUGGCAACAAUCGGCAAGGAAAACUCAUACUUCCUCCCCUUAGGGGAAACUAAUACAAUGCCGAUUCCUGCCCCCCGGUCACAGGUAGAUCCAUCAAAGAAGAGCGUCCAGGGUACAAUUUCCAAGGUUUCCACUAGACCGCAAUGCUGAGUCACAAAAUCGGCCAUAAUCUGCCCUUUGACUGCCUUAGCCGAUUCGUAACGCAAAUCGAACUCCGACAGCGCUAAAAUCCAUUUACCGAUCCUACCACUCAUAAUCGGCAUAGAUAGCAUGUAUCGGACCACGUCAUCUUUGCAAACAACAGUGCAUUCGGCCGAUAACAGGUAAUGUCUCAGCUUGAUACAUGAAAAAUAUAAGCAUAAGCAUAGUUUCUCAAUGGCCGAAUACCUGGUUUCAGCAUCACUCAACCUCCUACUCAAAUAAUAAAUUACCCUUUCUUUCCCUUCAAAUUCUUGAACUAAAGCUGAACCGAUAACCGAUCCAUCGGUAGAUAAAUACAAUCUGAAGGGCUUCCCUUGUUGAGGUGGAACUAGAACUGGAGGAUUUACUAGAUACUUCUUGAUUUCAUCCAGAGCCAACUGCUGUUCUUCUCCCCAAAUAAACUCUUGAUCGGCUUUCAAUUUAAGAAGAGGACUGAAAGCACGAAUCCUACCAGAUAAAUUCGAUAUAAAUCUCCUGAUAAAAUUUACCUUGCCGAUCAAGGAUUGGAGCUCGGUUUUGUUGGUAGGGGCCACUAUUUUAUUGAUGGCAUCAAUAGAUCUUCGACUAAUUUCAAUACCCCUCUGAUGUACCAUGAAACCAAGAAACUGCCUUGCCGAUACACCAAAUGCACACUUGUUGGGAUUCAUCUUCAAUCCAUGCUUCCUUGUGCACUCUAACACUUUUUGUAAAUCGGCAAGAUGCUUUGAGAAAUCUCCAGACUUAACCACCACAUCAUCAAUAUAAAUCUCCACGAGCUUGCCGAUGAACUCAUGAAAUAUAAAAUUCAUAGCCCUUUGAUAAGUAGCACCAGCAUUCUUCAACCCAAAAGUCAUGACUAUCCACUCAAAUAGCCCAACAUGACCAGGACACCUGAAUGCGGUUUUUGGAAUAUCCUCCUCCGCCAUGAAUAUUUGAUUGUAACCUGCAUUACCAUCCAUGAAGCUGAUGACCUGAUGACCAGCCGCAGCAUCAACCAGUAGAUCGGCGACAGGCAUUGGGUAUCCAUCCAUCGGCGUAGCUUUAUUGAGAUUCCUGAAAUCAAUGCACACCCGAAGCUUCCCGUUCUUCUUGUAAACCGGAACAACAUUGGCAAUCCACUCGGCAUACCGACACUGCCGAAUAAACUUAGCUUCAAUAAGUUUGGUGAUUUCGGCCUUAAUAUCAGGUAGAAUGUUAGGAUUACAUCGGCGGGCUGGUUGCUGAUGUGGCCGAAAUCCAGACUUGAUGGGUAACCGAUGUUCAACAAUUGAUCGGUCUAAACCAGGCAUCUCAGUAUAAUCCCAAGCAAAGCAAUCUUUAUAUUCCUUUAACAAACUAGUCAAUUGUUGCUUACUCUCAGGAUCUAAUUUAGCACUAAUAAAAGUAGGCCUAGGCUUAUCACCACUACCUAUAUCUACUUCUACCAAAUCAUCGGCCGAUGUGAAUCCCUGGCCUAAUUUUCCAUCAUCGGCGAAUCUAUCCAUUAAAAACCGUCAUCAGAACCGACUGCUUGGAUCGGUGGAAUCUCAUAAUCGGCAACUUUGAGAAAAUCUUUCUCCCAAACUUCUCCUGAAAUGCACCUGGUCCUUUCGUAAGUAUCCGCUUCUGCCGACGCGAUAACAUAAGAAGAAUCUCCUGGGACAAUCUCAAUCUUGUCACCUACCCACUGAACCAAGCAUUGAUGCAUUGUAGAUGGGAUACAACAAUUGGCAUGAAUCCAAUCUCUUCCCAAUAAUAAGAUGUAAGCACCUUUUCCGCUGAUCACGAAAAAAGUUGUCGGCAAGGUUUUGCUGCCGAUGGUCAACUCUGCACAUAUCGCCCCCUUGACUGGAGACACGUUUCCUUCAAAGUCUUUGAGCAUCAUAUCGGUCUUGGUCAAAUCUUGAUCCCCUUUCCCCAGCUUCCGAUAUACUGCAUACGGCAUAAUAUUAAUGGCAGCUCCACCAUCAACUAGGAUCUUGGUCAUUGGCUGCCCAUCAACCCUUCCUUUGAGGAACAGAGCUUUAAGAUGCUGCCUCUCGUCAUCGGCAGGUUUCUCAAAGAUAGCCAUCAUCGGAUCCAGAGCCAACUGAGCUAUCUGAUCAGAAAAUUCCAACUCAUCGUCACUGGCUGGUGCAAGAAACUCCAUCGGCAACAUGAAGACCAUGUUGACGCCUACCGAUGGACCUUCCCUCUUAGUGUCUGACGGCUGCCGACUUCCAGAGUUCUCUCCCUUGUUUAGCUCUUCUUGCCUUUCACGUUGCAAUCUCCUUUUCUGUGUCUUGGUUAACCCUCCAGGGCACCAUGGAGGAAGUGGCCUUUGCCUUGCCGUCGGGCGCCGGUUCUCCCUUGACUCCAUACGAUGCGUGUUAGCAUCCCUGCAAAAUAUGAAUUCAUCGGGAACCCGCGCAUCAGCCAUUCCCUCGAGCUCUUCUUGGUUCCUGGGAAAAUACUGGACACGGUCACUAAGUCUGUCGUGCCCGCUAUAUCUGCCCCCCAGCCGGUCAUGAACUGACACCCUUCCUCUGAUCGGCCCAUUAAAUCGCCGUUCAUCAUUAUGAUAAUGCCGAUCGAUCCUAUCGUACCGAUCAUAACCGUUGCACUCAGGGCAGUCUCUGACAGUAGGAAGCUUGAUAUUCUCCUCCCAACAAUGGAUGAAGAAUGGACAAUUCCAAUGAUCCCUGUGCCGAUUCCACUCCUGUCGGCGUCUUUCUUCUUCCCGUCGAUAAUCUUCCUGCUGGCGCCGAUACCAAUCUUCCCGUUGUUGCCAUUUUUCUCGAGGCCUUCUAUGAGUUAUGACGAUACCAGAUCGAGGAAGCCUUCCUGAGCUAGUUCCUUCCUGGACCAAGCCCUUACUUCUUGCAUCGGCAGUAGUAACUUGAUGCUGGGGAUCUACCGAUGCACUCUUCUCAGCUGUCUCCGAUGUUAAGACCUUAGCCUUCCCCUUAGCAUCCAACAUGUUUGUCGGGAAAGGAUGUUGGUCUAUCUUCAUCGGCUUCUAGGCUUUGGAACUGUCAAACUUGAUUCUCCCUGACUCUAUAGCCGAUUGCAGCUGCUGUCUGAAUACUUUGCACUCGUUGGUGUCAUGGGAAGUUGCAUUAUGCCACUUGCAAUAUCUCAUCCUCUUCAACUCUUCUGCCGAUGGGAUCACAUGGUUAGGUGACAGUUUGAUCUGACCUUCCUGAAGUAGAAAGUCAAAUAUCCUAUCGGCCUUAGCGGUGUCAAAAGCAAACUUCUCUGGUUCCUUCUGCCCAAAAGGACAAGACAUCGGCUUCUUGUUUUUUACCCAUUCUGCCAAACCGAUUACUGGUUCUUCAUCAGAAUCUGAGCUUGUUGCUUCAUCGACAAAUGACACUUUCUUAUUCCAUGCUCUCUUAGGCUCAAAAGGCUUGAUGUCUUGAUCAGAAAUCCUCUGCACCAAAUGACUUAAACUUUCGAACUCCUGAGAGGCAUACUUAUCCCUGAUAUGUGGCAACAAACCCUGGAAAGCCAAAUCGGCUAGCUGCCGAUCAUCCAGAACCAGGCUAUAGCAUUUAUUCUUGACCUCUCGUAUCCUCUGCACAAAUCCCUCAACCGACUCAUCAUUACGUUGCCUCAACUUGACCAAGUCGGUGAUCUUCUUCUCAUGAACCCCCGAGAAGAAGUAUUUGUGGAAUUGCUUCUCUAGAUCGGCCCAAGUAAUUACUGAGUUGGGAGGUAACGAUAUGAACCAAGUAAAGGCCGAUCCAGACAAUGAUGAUGAAAAUAGACGAACCCUCAAUUCGUCCCUGUUACUGGUCUCUCCACAUUGAAUAAUGAACCUGUUGACAUGCUCCAUGGUUGACGUGUCGUCCUGUCCGGAAAACUUUGUAAAAUCCGGUACCUUGUACCGAUGUGGAAGCGGGAUCAAAUCAUACGCGGGAGGAUACGGUGUCCGAUAAGAAUAAGUGUUGACUUUGGGUUUUAUCCCAAAUUGUUCCCUCAUUACUUCAGCAAUCUUAUCGGCCCAAUAUGCAUCGGCAUCUUGCCGAUGAGGCGGCUGCGGAUCUGGCACUUGGUGGCGAACCUCCACGUGUCUGUUCGGGACGUGAUCUGCACGGAACAUUGUAUUGAUCAUCUGUCCUCCAACCUGCGGACCACCAAACUGCUGUCCACCGAUUGGCUGUCCUCCGAGUUGCUGUCCAAAAUUCAUUGGCUGGUUGGGAAUCCCCUGACCUUGGAACCCGGGAUAGACCUGCCCUUGCUGGAACCCUGUAGUCUGGUAACUCUGCUGGGGCAAUUGUGGAAAGGCUUGCUGUCCAAGCCAUCCAUUAUUAGCGUUCAUCGGCAUAGGUGCUGCCGAUGAUUGGUAAUUGGGUACCGUCGUUGAAUUGACAUACCCCGACUGGGCCAUAGGCCUCUGUUGCAUCAGCAUUGACUCUGCCGAUGCGUUGGGCAUCUGGAACAUUGAAUCUUGAGGAUUUCCAGUGUGAGGCCUCGCAGUAGUAGUUGUGGUAUACCGAGGACUCUGGUUCACCGGCGCAUUGGGAGGUGCCGAUGUCAUAGGAGUUUUGCCCCUCAUGUCAGUUAUUUGUGAUGUUCCCGGCGUCAACUCUGGAGGCAUACCGUAACCCCACCAGUUGGGAGGAAGCGUCAACCCUGACAUUGCCAAUGCCAACAUAUCUGUUGUCAGUUUAUGCUGCCCAACUGAAAUUUGUGGGUUGGUUGCCAUCGGCAUAGAUAGUGCACCAGUAGUCCCCGAUGUACUUGGAGGGACGGCAGAUUGUGCACUUGCAUUCGUCAAGGCAGCCGAUGGAGCCGUGACCUCUGGCGCCGUUGGCUGAUGAUGGGAGGGGCCCACAUAAUCUGGUGGGAUUUGUCCUUCCUUGAAAGUUCUUGCCACGGCAUUGAAAACCGUAUUAGACAGUACACCAGCUUGGUUAAUCAACGCUCGAUUGAUGGCAUUGUCAACCAUAUCUUGAAGCUUGCCAGGAUUGGCGUCAAAGGUAACCUACCGUGGUGCCGGCAGUGCAUCUUUCUGGACCACUUCGCCGCUCCUGUUUAUGCUGAAAGACCUCAGGCAUUGCUGCUUGAACUCUUCCAUGGCUUGGGCAAUAGCUUGCUUCUGCUCAUCCUUGAGGUUGGCCUCCGUCACGGGGAUGACGUUCUCUUGAUCGAGGUCAGAGAUCGACAUGUUGAUCUUGAUCUUGAAUCUGGUCCCACUGGGCGUGCCAAAAGAUGUGUUGAUGCAAAACUGAUCUGCAAACACAAAGGGCUAAUACCCGAUUCAAACGUUAAGGCGUGCCAGCCGAUUUGACCUUACUAUCGGCAAAGGUGAUAACUCGAAUACUUUAGUCCUGACAACAGCGAUGCGCCCGGAUGUCACGGCUAAGAGGUACUCACGCGGAACUCGAGAACACGCCGAGCUUAAGUCGACGAAUUCCUAAGAACUCGUAAUAAAAGGAAAAAGUAUGACGAAGUCGUCGAAAAGUAGAUGCUGGAAUAUGAGUAAAAACGUGUGUUUGAUUGAUUUCUUGAUUGAUGAUCUAUUACAAGGCCCUAGGGUCUACAUUUAUACCCUGCUCAAAGAGCUACAACCAGACACGAUUAGAAUUCGAAUUCCAAAUUACACGGAAUCCGUAUACAAAACGAUGCAAAUAAUUAAGGAAAUAACAAAACUAUCCCUCAUGACAAACCAAAACUCCUCCACAUAACGACCGGCAGCUUCCGGACUCCCUCUUUGCAUCAUCGGCAGACCCUUUGCCAUAGUCAUCGGCAGACUUUCUUAUCUAGCCAUCGGCACCAUAUUACUGCCUGUGGACUUAAUCACGUUCAACCUCUCCCUCAUCGGUAACCAUCCUCAUCGGCAACCCACUUUGUAAACAUCGUACUGCCACCUUAUCCUGCCAUCCCAGACACGUGCCCAAAAACGGUGUCAACAGGGGCAAUAUGCGUCGAGUUGACCAUCGGCAGCAAAACCUUGCCGACAACCUUCUUUGUGAUCAGUGGAAAGGGUGCUUAUAAUUUGCUGCUAGGGAGAGAUUGGAUUCAUGCCAAUUGCUGCAUCCCGUCUACAAUGCACCAAUGCUUGGUUCAGUGGGUAGGUGACAAGAUUGAGAUUGUCCCGGGAGAUUCUUCUUAUGUCAUUGCAUCGGCAGAGGCGGACACUUAUGAAAGGACUAGGUGCAUCUCGGGAGAGAUUUGGGAGAAGGAUUUCCUCAAAGUUGCCAAUUAUGAAAUUCCACCGAUCCAAGCAGUCAGUUCUGAUGAAGAGUUUUGAUGGAUAGGUUCGCCAAUGAUGGAAAAUUAGGCCAAGGAUUCACAUCGGCCGAUGAUUUGAUAGAAGUAGAUAUAGGUAGUGGUGAUAAACCUAGACCUACUUUUAUUAGUGCUAAGUUAAAUUCUCAGUGUAAGCAGCAGUUAACCGAUUUGUUGAAGGAAUAUAAAGAUUGCUUUGCUUGGGAUUAUACCGAGAUGCCUGGUUUAGACCGAUCAAUUGUUGAACAUCGGUAACCCAUCAAGUCUGGAUUUCGGCCACAUCAGCAGCCAGCUCGCCGAUGUAAUCCUAAUAUUCUUCCUGACAUUAAGGCUGUCGACGAAAGCUAGUCGGCAGUCUACCUUGGGGUAUACCCACGGUAGUAGUUUAUCGGUAGACGGUGCGCAAACUACGAACUCGAUGGUGACGCAAGACACGGACAAGCUUUUUAUCCAGGUUCGGCCGCCGAGUUGGCGUAAUACCUACGUCCUGCGUCUGGUUGUAUUGAUUUGUGUUGAGAGAAUAUGAUGUGUCCUAGGGGGGUCCCUUGCCCCUCCUUAUAUAUUCUGGAGGGCAGGGUUACAGAUCUGGAAACUAAUCCUAGUCGGUUACAAUUGCCAUGGAUAAUUCGAUAUCAAUUCCUAUUCUAACCGACUAGAAUCCUGCUUGAUCUCCACAUCUUGUUUCCUUGCGCGAAACUCCAGGUUGUCGGAUCAAGCCUUGAACUCGUCUCGUAAUGGGCCAAGCCUCCUGGCCGAAGUCUAGCCGUAAGGGUAUAGGGGUUUAUACCCCCACAGCUAGUCCCCGAGCACCAUGUAUUGUGAUGUAACACGCCGUCUUGAGCUUCUUCGGUCAGUGAGACUUGACAUCUUCAAUAAGUGGGAAAGUCGCCCAAACAGUUGCAACGGUUCUUUGACCAACUCAAAAGACAGUUGAUCAACAUUGACAUCGAAGAAGCGAGUUGUUCGAAGAAUGCAUGGUGCUCUAAAUUAAAAAAGAUUUCUUUCCUGGUGAAGUGUGCCCACUUUACUUUUUUGAAAGGUAUAAACAUCAAAAAAGCAAGCAUAUUCACCGCAAGGUGAAGUGUGCCCACUUAGUCCCCGAGCCUGGUAGUAGGUGACGUAGGCACGUGGUGCCAGGGUCAAAAUAAAAGUCCUCAAAGAAAUUCUGUAACUGAGAUGCAUCGCCAGAUGCAUCGUACCGAUGUAGUCCCCGAGCUUGCUGGAAGGCAAAGUAUGAGCCUUGUAGCAAGGUCUAAAAAAUUGAAUUUACCAGUCCGUCUGCAAUUGAAUAGACUAAUCGACCAGUCCCCAGGUGUAUAAUAGUAUGACGACCAGUCCCCAAGCACCAAGUGCGCUCCUUAGAAUUCUGCGUUGCUAUACUGUACGACCAGUCCCCGAGCAUCGAGUUCUCGGUGGUCGGUGCAGUCUUUGAAGUUUCGAGCUGAUAGACUGGGCGACCAGUCCCCGAGCGUCGAGUGCUCGGUGGUCGGUGCAGUCCUUGAAGUUCCGAACUGAUAGACUGGGCGACCAGUCCCCGAGCGUCGAGUGCUCGAUGGUCGGUGCAGUCCUCGGACUGUUGACUCUCUGGCAUAUUUGUCUUCUUUUUAUUGAAACGAUCUUUUCAGUUAAAGUUGACAUGACGAGACCUCCUGAUGGGUUGUCAGAUGGACGCAUGAAAAGUUGCGCCUGGCAACUGUACAGCCGCCCUUUGCGUGGUUUGAGAAAAAGGGAACCAUCAAUUGGUACGAAAACUCCGCCGCAUUAAUUGUCUAUAAUCAUUAUAAACCGAAACGCCGCAUCCGCCGCAUGGCCCGCCCACUUCCCGAGAAUACGGGAAGUGGGAGAGGUGGAGUUGCGGGUUAUAAAAGCCUGACAGUUCCGCCUGUGCUCCUUACCCUGCCAUUGCCCUCAAGCCUUCCAUUUUCGCCUCCUUCAAUCACCUGCAUCUUCGUAACCCAAAUCCACUUCUCACCUCCAAUGGCGAAGAGCAACGCCAAGAAGAGGGCUGAACUGAUGGCCAAGGAGUGGAAGAAGUCCCGCAGCACCACCAAAUCCCUUGGUGACCUCGUCGACAUGGGACUCCUGCACAGCUCGGAGCUCGGCGGCUGGAGAGCACCGGAAGGAGAAAGCUUCCCCGACCCUCGUGCCGGUGAGAUCGUCGUGUUUGAAGAUUUCGUUAAGAGGGGCUUUGGGGUUCCGGUUCAUCCUUUUCUCCAAGGUCUUCUUCUGUAUUAUGAGAUCGGGAUUUGCAAUCUGCACCCGAACUCAAUUCUCCUUAUUUCCACGUUUAUUCAUCUGUGCGAGGCCUAUGUUGGCAUAGAGCCGCACUUCGAUCUUUUUCGUUACCUUUUCUGCUUGAGGAAGAAGGGAGCAGUUGGAGGCUCCAAGGUUGCAGGUGGAGUGUACCUCAACCUUCGUGAUGGAAUGAAGAAUCACUACCUGCACUGUCCAUGGAACACUUCCUUGACCGAAUGGUAUAGGAAGUGGUUCUACGUCAGGGAGGAACCGGGCAGCUCCACGUUCUGCGACGUGGGGUACAUUCCCGAGAAGAGGGUAAGCUGGACCGACCGCCCGGAGUUCGACGGUCAAGUGGCGGAUCUGAUGAAGCUGAUCGACUGGUCGCGCCUGGAUGGGCUUGGCGUGGUCGGCAACUUCAUUUGUCGUCGGGUGAUGCCCUGCCAGAAGAGGGUGCACUCGGCGUACGAGUAUUCCGAAAGCGUGGACCCGACCAGGAUGCGACCGGAGAUCUUGGAGAAGGCGGAGGUACAACGGCUGUUGAACGAGCUGUUCAACUUUGCGGACGGAGGCUUCAUCCGCGGCAGUGAUCGGGUGCAAGCCUUCAAGUUAGGCCGACCAGCACCAAAGGUAUGUUGCAGAGUAUUUUGUUUUAGCAUUCGUAUAUCGUCUGUAGCUGACUCAUCUUUGUUGCUUUUGCAGAUCGGCGAUGUCGACCGGUGCACAGUGUAUGUAUCACUGGCACCGGGGAUGGAGGAUCCUGCGGGAGAAGACUUGCCAGAAGGCAAUACUGCUAGGUGUACUCGUUACACCAGCAGUGAGGAGGAACAAACCCGCCCCGUCCCGACCACCGAGGAGAGGGUAGCGGGGAAAAGGCCAUUGCCGGCAGAUCCCUUGCCGACACAGAUGUUGCCGGCAGGUCUACAUGCGGAGAGCAGCCAAGCGCCGAAGCGUUGUCGGCUCGUGCGGAUCGUUGACGACGACGACGACGACGAGGAGGCUGCGCCGUCGUUAGUCCGACGGCCUCGGAGCCGCCCAGAUAAUGCGCCGGCCGCUACUGAUCGAGUGGCCAGCGACCCCCCUGCACCGCAAGUUGUCGAGAUGGGGGCGCAGGUGCCGACCGGCCGGGCGAGGAUGAGGUUCACCGCGACCCACCGUCGAUCAGACCUGUAAGUGUUUGACUUACGUAUUUUGGACUCCUCUUUGCUUUUUUUUUUAAAUUACACUUUUGUUCCUGUAGUGCGGCGUCGGAUGUCGACCCCGGCCAGGCUGCCAGCCAGGGGACGGGCGAGCCUGUCCGCGCUGCUGAAGAUACGGCCCCCCAGACCACAGAGCAGCCUACAGCUGCAGCCGCGCCUGGGAGCACCGAGGGGCUCCCGACCGCGGCACCGACUACGACAGGCAGCCCGACCAGGGCUGAAGAGGCUCCCACAGCUGGCUCCGCAGAAGAGGAGGGAAGAUCCCCGACCCCUCCUCCUGCCGGGGGGGAGUGAAGUCCCCACGCCGCCCCGAGCAGGAACCUCUUCGGCUGCAGGCUCCGCAGGUCUGGUCCGAGGGCCAGUAAUGCCUGGGACCACCACCGGGGGUGACGCAGCGCAGGAGGAGGAAACCCGGGCGGCCUCCGAUGACGAGGUGGAAGAGAUUGAGGGUCGUCCCCGUGAUGGCCGCCAACACGUGUAUGUGUGGCGCCAACGCGGGGAUCACUUUAUCGGGCAUGAGGAGCUCGCCGAGACCGAGGAGGCCGCCAGGGUGGAGCGUGCGGCCAAGCGCCUCGUCGACGAAGUCAAGGUAAGCGACUUUUUGUACUGCUGUACAUUCUAUGCCUUGUCUUGCAUGGUCGUUAUAUGCUCGCUUUGUAGGGCGCGAUGAAAACGGCAAAGUACCGGAAACGGUGCUUUGACCAGAUAGAAGGCGUCGUGGCCGAGAACAAGGCCCUUGCCGUGGAGGUAGACCGGCUGCGGUCAGAAGUCGGGGAGAUGGUGGCCGAGAUGAGUGCCCAAGAGGAGCGUCGUCUCGACCUCACUCGUCGCUUGGCCGACCAGUACGGCAGCGAGAAGGUUAGUCACACGCUCCGAGCAGCUUUGCGUACUUGUGUAGUUUGCUUUACUGACCAGUUUAUGAUUCACGCAGACUUGGAGGAGGAGGUGGCGCGCCUCCGACAAGAGAAGGAGCAGCUCAGCCAACAGCUCGCCGGUGCGCUGGAGUCCGGGCGGCGAGCGGGAGAGGAAUUGGGUCGAAAGGACCGGGAAUUAUCUGGUAAUGGGUGCCGCCUUGUUAGCUGCUGCUUGUCGCCCCUUUGUUUGUUUGGUAUGCCAAAAAUAACGCUUUGCUUCGUUUGCAGUGCUCAAGGUGAACGCCAAGAAGCACCUGGAUGAUCUGAUCAAGGACCGGGACUCCUGGAAGGUCAACUGUUGCAGGAUCUGGAAAGGAGUGUCCCCAGUCCUAGACCUGAUCAGUCCCGAGCUCCCGGAGAGCCAGCCCCGCGCCGCCGCAGUUGACCCCGGUCGAGAAGGCGCAACGGGCGUGGGACUGGCUCCAGCAGUUCGUGAAGGACGCCGGGGAGUUUGCCGGCGCGCACGUCCUCAGCAUGGUGCGCGCCCACUACCCACUGGUCGACUUGAGCAGGCUGGAGAAGGGGUACCCGAAGGAGGUCGGCCCACAGGAAGCGGACGAGCUUCGGGGUAGUCUGCUGGACUUGUCGUCGACAGUGAUCGGCGACAUCAAUCUGUGCGGAACGGCCACUCCCCCAGACCAGCCGAGUUCAGAUAGGUCGGCCAGGGAGUUGUCGGGCGCGUCCGUUGCGGGAGAUGGGCGGUCGACGCCUGCGGUCUCGACCAGCCAGGCGCCGGUGGCCCCGACCCCUUCGUCCGGGCAGCAGGGCCAGGCGGGUGAUCAGCCCGAGCAGCUAGGCCAAUAGAGUAGUCUGUAGGAAUAGACUAGUGUCUGCCCGUCAGGGUAUUUAUUGUAAACUUUGUAUGUAAAGUUUGUAAUAAAGUUUGCUUUUUGUCAUGACUGUUGUUUUGAGCGCUGUAAUAAUAUCUGAGUGACGUGUCACCGUAUUCGUCUUGGUAGUCGUUAAGAGCAUCCAUUGCAGGCGUUUUGCCGAGUGCUGUGUGCGACAAGGUAUAGGCAAAAAAUAGAGAAUUUCAUUAUCAACAAUUAUAAGAUACUUACAAAGGAAAGUUAUUAAAACUUUAUGGAUAGAAACGUCGCAGUUUGUCUAUGUGCCAAGAGUUAGGCACUCGUGUUCCGUCUGGGUAUGCCAAUCUGUAGGACGUAGGUCGUGUGACCUCAGUCACCACGAAGGGUCCUUCCCAGGGAGUGGAUAGCUUGUGCAUUCCCUCCUGGCUUGUUUUCCAUCGAAGUACCAGAUCGCCGACCAUGAAGGAACGGUCCUUGACGUUCCUGUUGUAGUAUCGCCUGACUGCCGCGAGAUAUUUUGCUGUUCGGAGACAAGAAUCUAAACGCUUUUCCUCCAUGCAAUUGAUUUCGAGUUCUCUGGCGUUGUCAGCGGUCGCCUGGUCGAAGUGUUCGAUUCUAGGAGAUCCGAAGUGUAUGUCAGACGGCAGGACCGCCUCUGCACCGUACACCAUGAAGUAGGGAGACACCCCUGUGUUUCGACUGGUCUGAGUUCGGAGGCCCCAGACCACUGCUGGCAAUUCUUUCAUCCAUCGACCGGGUGCUCUGUCGUUUUCGGUGUACAACCUUUUCUUUAGGGCGUCAACGAUCAUUCCGUUAGCAUGUUCAACUUGACCGUUGGCAUGUGGAUGUGCCACUGACACGUAUUUUAUGACUAUGCCUCUGUCAUCGCAGAAGUCCCAAAAAGUGGUGCCAGUAAAUUGAGUGCCCAGGUCGGUGAUUAUGCUGUUCGGGAUGCCGAAUCUGUGUAUGAUUUGAUUGAGGAACUCCACAGCCUUCUCGGAGGUUGCCUUGACCAGAGGCAUGUAUUCAAUCCACUUGGAGAACUUGUCGAUUAACACGAAAACAAACUUGAAAUUGCCCGGGGCUGGUUUAAAUGGCCCGAUCAUGUCGAGCCCCCAGCAAGCAAAGGGCCAAGACGACGGGAUGUUUUGAAUUUCGUGGGCAGGUACGUGGGUCCUCUUAGCGAAAAACUGACAUCCUUCGCAAUGUCGAACCAGUUUUUCUGCGUCGCCGACCGCGGUUGGCCAAUAAAAACCUGCUCGGAAAGCCUUUCCGACCAGCGUUCUGGAUGCGGCGUGAUUGCCGCAGGAUCCAGCAUGUAUGUCCUCUAAGAGCUUGAUACCAUCAUCUUGGGGUAUGCACUUGAGCAGUACUUCGGAGCUUGCGUUUUUCCGCAUGAGUUUGCCGUCGACCAGGAUGUAGUUCUUUGAUCGUCGAAUGAGGCGCUCGUUCUCUAUUUUGUCCUGAAGGCCUGUCCCGUCCGAUAUGUAUUUGAUGAACGGGGUACGCCAGUCACGCCCACCGGUUGUCGGAGUGGCGUCGUCUAUGAGCAUUGCCUCGGUGGGUUGCUUGUCGACCAGGGAGGAGCCUACGCUCGGCUCGUGGAUGUCCUGGACGAAAAUACCCCGCGGGAUCUGGGUCCGAGAUGAGCCUAACUUCGACAACGCAUCUGCUGCUUGGUUCUUAUCCAGGACCACGUGGAUGUACUCUAUGCCGUAGAAGUUGGUUUCCCAUUUGCGAAUUUCUUUGCAGUAGAGAUCCAUCUUCUCGUGGGUUGCGUCCCACUCCUUGUUGAGCUGGUUGAUGACCAAAGCGGAGUCGCCAUAGACAUAGAGUCGCUUGAUUCCCAGCUCAACGGCUAGUCUUAUGCCAUGCAAGCAUGCUUCGUAUUCGGCGACGUUGUUUGACGCCGGAAAAAGGAUCCGAAGGACGUAACGCAGUUUGUCCUUGUUGGGUGAUACGAACAGUAUCCCAGCGUCGGCACCGUUGAUGUUCAAGGACCCGUCAAAGAACAUUGACCAGUGGUCUGAGACAUCGGGAACGGGAGGCUCAUUGAGAUCCGUCCAUUCAGCAAUGAAAUCGACCAGGGCCUGAGACUUGACCGUAGUUCGGCUAUGGAACUCCAGGGAAAAUGGGCACAAUUCCAUCGCCCAUUUCACGAUUCUGCCAUUGGCGUCUUUAUUGCGCAGGAUGUCCCCGAGAGGGAAACUGGUUGUCACCAGGACUCGAUGGCCGUCGAAGUAGUGCUUCAGCUUUCUUGACGUUAUCAGAAUGGCGUAUAUAAGCUUCUGUAUUUGUGGAUACCUGGCCUUGGACUCGUUUAAGACUUCACUUAUGAAGUAAACGGGUCUCUGGACCUUGUAGGCGUGACCUGGUUCAUCUCGCUCGACCACUAUUGCCGUGGAAACAACCCUGUCGGUUGCAGCAAUGUAAAGAAGUAGGUCUUCAUUGGGCUGAGGCGCUGUGAGGACAGGUGGUGAAGUGAGGAAGGUCUUAAGCUGAGUGAACGCAGCGUCGGCUUCCUCUGUCCAAGAAAAUUUUUCUGACGCUUUCAAUAGUUUGAAGAAAGGGAGGCCUUUUUCUCCCAGCCUUGAGAUGAAACGACUGAGGGCGGCCAUACAUCCGGUUAGCUUCUGAAUAUUCUUGACGUUCUUCGGUGGUCGCAUGUCGAGUACGGCUUUGACUUUUGAAGGGUUUGGUCGUAUGCCGUCGCAACUGACGACGUUGCCGAGCAGUAGACCGGAAGGAACGCCGAAAAUGCACUUCUUGGGGUUGAGCUUCCACUUGUACCUAUUGAGCGCCUUGAAAGUUCGGUCUAAGUUGUCGAUUAGGGUGCUCGCGUCCCUUGUUUUUACGACCACGUCGUCUACAUAGGCCUCGACGAGGUCAUCGCGAAUCUCGUCGUGGAGGCAUUGCUGGAUGGCCCGUUGAUAAGUGGCUCCGGCAUUUUUGAGUCCGAAAGACGUGGUCGUGUAGCAGUAUGCGCCGUAAGGUGUAAUAAAAGACGUUUUGAUAUGAUCUUCUUCCUUUAGCGAGAUCUGGUGAUAACCAGAGUAGCAGUCUAGAAAGGAGAGGAGUUCGCAUCCGGCCGUUGAGUCGACCACCUCGUCGAUGCGAGGGAGACCAAAAGGAUCUUUAGGACAGUGUUUAUUGAGAUCAGUGUAAUCAACGCACAUUCUCCAUUCAUUAUUCUUUUUGCGUACAAGAACCGGAUUGGCGAGCCAAUCGGGGUGAUACACUUCUUUUAUGAAUCCGGCUGCUAGAAGCCGUGUUAUUUCUGUCCUAAUAGCCUCCUUUUUGUCAUGAGCGAACCGUCGCAGUUUUUGCUUGAUUGGUCUUGCGGUCUUCGAGACAUUUAAGGAGUGCUCGAUCAGGUUUCGUGGGACACCGGGCAUGUCUGCGGGUUUCCAUGCGAAAACGCUCACGUUGUCCCUUAGAAACCUGACGAGCGCGUCUUCCUAUUUUGGAUCCAGGUUGGCCCCGAUGAGGGCUGUCUUCUCGGGGCUGCCUUCGACCAGCUGCACUUCUUUGUACUCCUUGGAUUUUGAGUUCUUCCUGGCUGUCGCCUGUUCGGGUAGUCGGAGCUGGUCGGGAGGCAGCUGUGCGGCUUGGUUUGCUGUUUCUGCCAUGCGGAUUGAGAGGUCGAUUGCCUCGGUGAUCUUGAAGCUUUCUUCUUCGCAGGUGUACGCAGUGUAGACGUUGCCUCUGACGGUUAGGACACCCUUCUCCGUGGGCAUCUUAAGGACUAGGUAUGAGUAGUGCGGGACUGCCAUGAACUUUGUCAGCGAUGGUCGGCCCAGUAUGGCAUGAUAGGUCCCGUCGAAAUCCGCGACUACGAAGUUGAUGAACUCCGUCUGGAAGUGGUCGAGUGUGCCGAAUUGGACAGGCAAUGUUAUCUGUCCGAGAGGCACUGAACUUUGACCUGGCAAAACCCCCCAGAAUUGGGCGUCGUAAGGUUUUAGUUGUGCAGGAGAUAUCUUGAGGGCGGGCAGGCUGUUGCGAAAGAGGAUGUCAAUGGAGCUUCCCCCGUCCACGAGCACGCGCUCGAAUCUGAUGCUGUUGAUGCAAGGGUCCAGAAUCAGGGGAAAACGACCCGGCUCUGGGAUAGCGGCCCACUGGUCCUUCCUGCUGAACGAGAUCUCCCUGUGGGACCACGGGGGGAAUUUUGGGUCUGUGAUCAGCCCGUCCGUGCUGUCUAUGUUGAGGCAAGCUCUCUUUAACAGCUUUCUUUCUCGCUUAGAUUCAAUGGAGACCUUGCCCUCGAAAAUGGAGUGGACCACGUCAGUGGGGCUGACGUACUGGUGUCGGGGGUCCCUAUCUUGGUCCUCGUCCUCAUCUUCGUGGUCGUGCCCGUCGCGCUUGUUAUUUUUCUUGGCGGAGUCGUCUUGGGCGGCCCGCCGUGUAUAGAUACUUUUGAGGACGCGGCACUCUUCCAUGGUAUGAUUGGACUUUGGAUGUAGUUGGCAUGGUCCCUUCAACGUUUUGUUGUAGUCUUCUUGGUAGUCCCGUCGUCCAUUGGGACGUUUGACCGUAUUUACUUCGUGGUCGUAGUCGUGAGGGCGCUUUCCUCUGAAGUCGUGGUGGCUGUCGCGCCGCCGAUCCCAACCCUCUCGGUGAUCGCGGUUGUCAGAGCGGCGGUGGUUUCUGCUGUCGUAGCGACCACGACCGUCAUCUCGCCGGGGAGGCUGGUCGGGACCUCUCGCAUCGUCUCGGAUUAGUUUUUCUGCGUCAUCGGCAUCGGCGUAAUUUUUGGCCGUGGCGAGGAGCUCUGCUACCGUUGUUGGACGUUUACGCAACAUCUUGUUCCUCAGCGCUUCGUGGAAACGCAGGCCCUUGAUGAAGGCUGAGAUGGCCUCGUCAUGGGAAAUCUUCAGGAUUUUGAGGCGCAUAUCCGAGAAUCGUCGGAUGUAAUCGCGCAGAGGUUCGUUCUUCCUGUCCCUUAUCCUUUCAAGGUCAUACUUGUUUCCAGGCUGCUCGCAUGUGGCGAUGAAGUUGUCGAUGAAAGCCUGGCGUAGCUCUUCCCAAGAGUCGAAGGAGUCCUCGGGCAAGCCGAGAAGCCACUGAUGACCAGCCUGGUCGAGGACUACGGGGAAGUAGUUAGCCAUGACGUGCUCAUCCCCUGCCGCUGAUCGGACGGCGAUUUCAUAGAGGGUGAUCCAGUUCUCUGGAUUUUCCUUGCCGUCGUAUUUUUUAAGUUUUUCGAGCUUGAAAUUGCGGGGCCACACGACCUAGCGGAGGUGUGAGGAGAACUGUCUUAGGCCCGGAGGACCGUGCGUUGCAUCGUACUCGAUGCGGCGCAGGUUUUUGUGGACUGCUCUCUCUGCGGCGCGCCUGUUGAUGCGGUCCCGGGCAUCUUUGGGAGGGAUGUUGUGGCGGAGAUCCCUGUGCUGAUUUACUUCUUGGCCGCGUACGCGGUUCUGCUUGCGGCGACCGUCGGCGUCCCGACCACCAUCGUCGCGCCAUGAGUCCCCUCGACGGUUGUCGGGGGAGCGGCUGCGGUGACGCCUGCUGGGUGAGGCCCGGCUUCGAUUAGUCUGGUCGGAGGCGGCUUCCGUAUAAGAGACGUCCUGGACUCUCUUGAGCAGAGUGGCUGUCUGUCCCAUUGCAGCGAUCAGGUGUGCUCGGAUGCUGGUCCGGACUCCCUGGCAUUCGGGGGUAUCAGGAAGCCGAUCUAGGUUAGCCAUGGCGACAGCCACGUUGGCGCUUGGCGUUUUGUAGACUGGCUGGUCCCCGACCAUGUCAAAGGCAUCAUUGAGAUUAUUUGGUGGCAUUUGUUGUUGCUCGUCUGCGCGUCGUCGGGCGCGAUCGGCGUUACGCUGUUCGCGGAGUUGCCUCUGGUCAUCUGUUUCUCCAUCAACGACCGGUUCGUCGGCGCUGACAUUGAACACAAUAUCCCCUCGCCGGGGGGGGAAUAUCGGGAAUCGGUUGAAACCUGGAGGGUGUGAAGGAAAAUCCAGGUCGUAGUCCUCGUCUUCGGUGUUUAUAACCUCGGUGGGGACGGAACCGGUGCUUGAGUUGGUGCUGGAAACCUGGCCGUCCCGUAGUUCUCGGAUUGUCACCAUGUUGACGUAGUGACGAUUGUUCCUUGUCGGCGACCAACCCGCCUUGCUGAAAACUGAUUGGGUGUGCUGUGAGUAAACAGAGACCGAGUUGUUCAGGCCGCAAGGAUAGUCUUCCUUCUUGAGCUCGACGGAUCGUCCUGAGGGUGUUGAGGUUAUCGUCAGAGACGUUCCCAGCCGUUCGUGUGUGGCGACACGAGUUGGCCGGCGGGAUUUGAAAAAAUCCGCUGGAGCAGCUUGGUCGGGCCGACGCAGAACUCCGUCUAUUAGUUGGGAAACUUCGAGUAGCUUGGAGUCAGCGCGAUCAAGCGCUUGGAGAAGGUCCGAGCAGUCGAUCUUCUUUCCCUUGUAGAGUGGGAACGGUGGUCGGGCGCUUGGUGCCGUCACGCAUGUGGUCGGAGACGGCGUGAUCUCAGAUUGGAUCUGGAUCUCUUUCGAAACCGUGGUCGUGAGGCCGCCGCUGCACGUCGUCCACGUGAUCUGGCGGACGGUGAACGUGAGGCCUUCGGGCACGGUCGCGGAAGCUGGGAUCGUGACCAUCUUGUUCGCCGGAAAAGUUGCACGCACACCCCCUACCUGGCGCGCCACUGUCGACGAAAGCUAGUCGGCAGUCUACCUUGGGGUAUACCCACGGUAGUAGUUUAUCGGUAGACGGUGCGCAAACUACGAACUCGAUGGUGACGCAAGACACGGACAAGCUUUUUAUCCAGGUUCGGCCGCCGAGUUGGCGUAAUACCUACGUCCUGCGUCUGGUUGUAUUGAUUUGUGUUGAGAGAAUAUGAUGUGUCCUAGGGGGGUCCCUCGCCCCUCCUUAUAUAGUCUGGAGGGAAGGGUUACAGAUCUGGAAACUAAUCCUAGUCGGUUACAAUUGCCAUGGAUAAUUCGAUAUCAAUUCCUAUUCUAACCGACUAGAAUCCUGCUUGAUCUCCAUAUCUUGUUUCCUUGCGCGAAACUCCAGGUUGUCGGAUCAAGCCUUGAACUCGUCUCGUAAUGGGCCAAGCCUCCUGGCCGAAGUCUAGCCGUAAGGGUAUAGGGGUUUAUACCCCCACAAAGGCCGAAAUAACCAAACUCAUCGAAGCUAAAUUUAUUCGGCAGUGUCGGUAUGCCGAGUGGAUUUCCAAUGUUGUUCCAGUUUACAAGAAAAAUGGGAAGCUUCGGGUUUGCAUUGAUUUUAGGAAUCUUAAUAAAGCUACGCCGAUGGAUGGUUAUCCAAUGCCGGUUGCCGAUCUACUGGUUGAUGCUGCGGCUGGACAUCGGAUCAUCAGCUUUAUGGAUGGUAAUGCAGGAUACAAUCAAAUAUUCAUUGCUGAAGAGGAUAUUCUAAAGACUGCAUUUAGAUGUUCUGGUCAUGUUGGGCUGUUUGAGUGGAUAGUCAUGACCUUUGGCUUGAAAAAUGCUGGUGCUACUUAUCAAGGGGCCAUGAAUUUUAUCUUUCAUGAGUUCAUCGGCAAGCUAGUGGAGAUUUAUAUUGAUGAUGUGGUGGUUAAAUCUGGGGAUUUCACGAAGCAUCUUGCCAAUUUGCGAAAGGUGUUGGAAUGCACAAGAAAAUAUGGUUUAAAGAUGAAUCCCAAUAAGUGUGCAUUUGGAGUAUCGGCAGGACAGUUUCUUGGUUUCAUGGUGCAUCAGAGGGGAAUUGAAAUUAGUAGACAAUCUAUUGAUGCUAUCAACAAAAUUGUUGCCCCUACUAACAAGAUUGAACUUCAAUCCUUGAUCGGCAAGGUAAAUUUUAUCAGGCGGUUUAUAUCUAAUUUAUCUGGUAAAAUUUGUGCUUUCAGUCCUUUGCUUAAAUUGAAAGCCGAUCAAGAAAUUAUAUGGGGGAAAGAGCAACAGUUGGUUCUAGAUGAAAUCAAGAGUUAUUUGGUGAAUCCUCUAGUUUUGAUUCCACCUCAGCAAGGGAAGCCCUUCAGAUUAUAUUUAUCUACUGAUAGGAUGGUCAUCGGUUCGGCUUUAAUUCAAGAAUUUGAAGGGAAGGAACGUGUGAUUUAUUAUUUGAGAAGAAGGUUGAUUGAUGCUGAGAUCAGGUAUUCGGCCAUUGGAAAACUAUGUUUGUGUCUAUAUUUCUCAUGUAUUAAGUUGAGGCACUAUUUGUUAUCGGCUGAAUGCACUGUUAUAUGCAAAGAUGACGUGGUCCGAUAUAUGCUGUCUAUGCCGAUUAUGAGUGGUAGGAUCGGUAAGUGGAUUUUGGCACUGUCAGAAUUUGAUCUGCGUUACGAAUCGGCUAAAGCAGUUAAAGGACAGGUUAUGGCCGAUUUCGUGACUCAACAUUGCGGGGCAGUGGAGACUUUGGAAAUUGUGCCUUGGACACUCUUCUUUGAUGGAUCCACGUGUGACCGGGGGGCAGGAAUCGGCAUGGUGUUAAUUUCCCCUCGGGGAAGGAAAUAUGAGUUUUCUUUGUCGAUUAUUGCUACAUCAACAAAUAAUCAAGCCGAGUAUCAAUCUUUGAUAAAGGGGUUGGAAUUAUUGAGAGAAGUCCAUGCUGACGCUGUUGAAGUCUUCGGAGAUUCUAUGCUGGUUAUAAAUCAAUUGGUUGAAAGUUAUGAAUGCCGGAGCGAAGUCUUGAUAGCUUACUAUGAAAAAAGCAUGCGACUAUAAAAGGAAUUCAAAGAAUUCCGAUUAGAGUAUAUUCCUCGGUUGAAAGUUAUGAAUGCCGGAGCUAACUGGUUGGCUCAGCAUGCUUCAAGGUAUCAGCCUAUGGUUAAUACGUUAUCGGCAAUCGGUGCCGAUGAUUGGAGGAAAGAGAUCGUUGAUUAUCUAAAGGAUCCAUCCAAGAAAGUUGAAAGGCGUGUUCGAUUUUAGGCUACCAAAUAUGGGCUCCUCGAGGAUGAGCUAUAUUAUCGGACAAUCGAUGGAGUUCUUCUCAAAUGCUUAGGUAAUGAUGAAGCCAAGAGUUUGAUGGGAGAGAUCCAUGAAGGGGUGUGUGGAGCACAUCAGUCGGCAUUUAAGAUGAAGUGGAUGAUCAAGAGAAAUGUGUAUUAUUGGCCGACUAUACUUGAGGAUUGUUGUUGACGGUCCUUAAUGCUCAUAUUUAACCAUUAAUUAAUCAUGGAAAAGGAUCCAAAUGCAACCAACACCUAGACUUAGGGUUUUAUCUGACAGAAUUCCACGAGUUUUGGUGUUUGUGUAUUUCUGCAGGGGGUUAUCAAGAAAUAUGGAAGAAAGGCCCACACGUCGGGUUUACAUAGAGAUAUUAACGUGCCGCGCAAUUUUCUACCAUCUAGAAGACUCCAGAAGCCACGGGAACGAACGGGAGACGUAACGGAGCCGGGCACUGGGCGCCCGCCCUCCCUUACUGGGCGCCCGCCCUGCCCCUGGACCAAACAGAGUCCAAUUCGGGGACAACACUCCACCGACCUAAUACUUCAAGGAAAACCACACAAUCAAUGUCGGUUUGAUCCGACGGCCCAGAUUCACUUGAAGGGACUAUAAAACCAGACCCCCUGGCCUCUGGAGAUCAUACCUCUUCUACAGAAUCAAAGCUAGGGUUUCAAUUCUUCAUCCAAGUAGAGAGGAUCCCUUUAGUUCUUCUAGUUCUACCUCUAGUUCAUCUAGAUCUAGUUCUAGUUCAUCUAGUUCUAGUUCUAGUUCCUCUAGUUCUAGUUCUAGUUGUAAUAUAGAAAAUAGGGAGAGAGAAGAGGAGAGCGGAGGAGGAGCCGGAUCUGUCGGAUCUUCCUCAACAUUAUACUUUUGCAGCAUCUGGUUCGUUCUUCAUCGUUCUCCAGGUUCUUCAAUUCAUAAUUCCUGAGUUCUUUAAUUACUUUUAUUUACAUUCAAGUUAUUUAUUAGAUUCCCGCUUGUAUCAAGUGCUCUAGUAUUUAUAACGCUAGAGUAGUAAUUAAUAGAUUAGACAUGGUGUUUAGUCUUGCAAUUACCUAGAAGUGCACCCAAUCCUGCGGAUUGUUGUGGUAGCCUUAGGGUAGUGACAGCCCUAACGGUCGAUGUAUUCCACCUCGUUCGGAUCGGUGUUUGUAGGACCGUAGUCAGACAUUCCUAGCCCCCUUCUCAUCUCUUUCUGUGGUUAGUGGUCUGAUGUCCCGAUAUAGAUAAUCUUGAAGUAAUUCUUGAUUCUUAGAUCAACUAGAGAACUCUCAGGAAACUUCCUCUCUUCCCACCAAAAAUAAUUAUAUAGUUAUCCUUGGGCGAUCUUGGAUCUUAAUUAGUACACUCACGUUCCCUGUGGAAAAUCGAUACUCUGGAAUACUCCCAGGUGAAAGCUACAUCGGUAUCCGUGCGCUUGCGGAUUUUUCUGUUUGCGUUUAAAAUACCCAACAAGCUUUUUGGCGCCGUUGCCGGGGAACGGUAGCUGUGCUAGUUUCGAACCAAGUCGUCCGUGUAUCCUUUUUCUUUUCCUUUUUUACCGUACUCACCUUAUCAUUUUCACCAUACCACAUGGAUUUCACUCUAAGCAUUAAUGAGCAUGGAAUUUAUUUCAUAGCCAUUUCAUUUACUCCGUACUCAUAUGCAACAUCUUCACAAUCCAUUGGUCUCUCCAACAUCGCCACAUUCGAGAUCUCCAACCCCAACUUCCUUUCUAUUUAUAAAAACUUUAAAAGGGCGGUUGUCGAUGCAUAUGUCUAUAAUAAAUUUUGCAGAUCUCGUUGAGUUGAUCUUGAUGUAGGUCAGCGUUGGAGGGGAAACCACUUCGCUGACAUAAAUUAAUGGGUUCCCAAGGGCUUUUAAUUAUUUGCAACAUUACCUUGUCUAUUGAGCAUAUAAGGAUAAUUAUAAAAAAAUUCCUUCGGGUAUUCUUGUCACUAACCUUUCUAGGAUUGGAGCAAGAAGAUCGGGUGAAUGACAAGCACAAGGUAUGUACAACCAAUCAUCAUACAACAUUGAAUUAAAUUCAUCCAAACUUGAAUUUUACAAAAUUCAAGCUUGGGGGAGUACUUUAUAUAAAAACAUCCGUUGCCAUGUUGCUAUGUUGGUUGUCCCUACCUUUUAGACAUGCUCAAUUUGUUAAAUACUAAUCACACUACUUCAUCUCCACUUGAGUAGAUCUCUAUAAAAGCUCUCAUGGUACCUUUAUUUGCUUUAGUAUAUGUCUAGGUUGGAGUAGUUUCAUUUAUCUCUUAAUUAAGCAUGGUGCUUAGUUUAGGAAUGAUGAUCUUACUUCCAAAGGAUUUUAAAUUAAGCAUGAUGCUUAGGUUAAAAUUCCCUCCUAAAUCAAAUUAGACAUGGUGUCUAGGUUGAUCUUUGAGCCGAUAGUAUGCUAUAGUAGAUAUUGGAUAUUUUGUUGGCCUAACCCCUGUAGGAAAACUUUCAAUAUCGACCUGGGAAGUCCUGAGAUAAACUCACAUUGGAGACAAAGAGAGAGACACAUGAAGUUUAACAAUUUGCACGAGGAAGGCAUAGCUCACAAGAGAUGAUCCAUGGAGGGUGCCACAAACACGAUACACAACCGCUAAGAGAGGAAAGCUUCCACAAGGUGAUACUAUACCAUCACUCUUCAAGUAAGGUAAUAUCUUAAGGUACUUGACUAUCACUUUUAUAAGUUUCUCCUUGGUUCUGGCAUUCACAUGAAUAAAAGAGACAAACAUGUAUGAUUUACAAUUCUAGAUUAACCAAGCCAAACGAUUCAAUAUGUUUAGUCCUUUCACCUUUGUGAUCCCACACUAAAUGUUGCACACACAAUCUUUGGAAGAUAUAUAUAAAAAAAUAGAUAAGUAUAGAUAGAUUAUCUUUCCAUUAGGUUGAGUGAUCUGAUCUGACGAAUGUUUUAAAUGCUACACUCAUGAUCUUAUUAUCCAUCAACUUUGUCUUGCUCACUAUGCUUAAGGUUAGAGAAGAACAAAUACACUUUUGGUUCUGUUGGUGUUUUCCACCAACAGGGCCCAUGCACUUGAUCUCUGCCUUGUCUAUAUGAGUAGGUACACUUCGAGCAAAAUAUGAAGGAGUUUUACAACUCCCAGACUCCACCAAGUGAAGAACCUAGAUCUACGAGCACAAACACACUGGAGAUACUAGACACUCAGGCAAUCGCUGCCCUGAGAUGCUUGAGGACGUAACUACUGGAGUAACCCCGUUGUGGAAGUAAUUACUGACCUUCUGCCGGUCAAGAGAGACGAUCCAGGACGUCCCGUCAUCCCGAUCUCCAUCGGCAUGGUGAACUUCCUAGAAGCACUCUGUGACUUUGGCUCCAGCGUCAACAUUAUGCUCAGGGUACUUUAUGAAAAAUUCUUUACACACCCUUUCCUAGAGACAACCAUGUGUUUGCAGCUUGCACAUCGGACACUAAGUUUCCCAAAGGGAAUAGUGAAGAACCUCUACGUCCGAGUUGGUACCUUGUACGCCCCAGCAGACUUCGUGGUGAUAGAGACUGGUACUGAUGAGAGGGCACCCAUCAUCCUAGGGAGGCCAUUCCUGAACACCUCGGGAGCUAUCAUCUACGCUAGUGCUGCCAAGAUCAGUUUCUACAUCAAGGGGAGGAAGGAGACGUUUUCCUUUAAGAACAAGACUACACAAGUCUCAGAGCAAUCCCGACACGAACCAAGGAAGGGGACCAAUAGGAGGAAUAGAAACAAGCAAAUGUGGACCGAGUCAGCUAAGAUGGUCACUGCAGUUCAAGGAGGUCAAGAUCAUCUAUUUAAGUCACCGUUCCUGACCAAAAAGGACGACCCAGGCAUGCCAAGCAUCCAGUGCUCCAUUAAUGGAUACAACUUCCAGAAGACGCUUUGCGACACCGGGUCAGGCAUCAACAUAAUGGCCGCAGUCACCUAUCAACUCCUGUUCGGAACCAUACCCCUAAAACCGACAUACAUUUAGCUCCAAAUGGAAGAUCAGACAUUCUGAAAGAUUGAAGGUUAUUGACAUGGGAGAAGACGAGUACGAUCCACCCAUCAUCCUUGGAAGACAGUUCCUCAGCACCGUUAAAACAAUCAUCUACAUUGGAACCGGAGAAGUCCACAUGCACUUCCCCUCUGAGAAGGUACGCCGCUAUUUUACUGACCCUAACUAUAUAGUUGAAGACUUUAAGCAGGUCAGGACAAGAAGAAGAAGAUGCAACCGCAACCAGAGAAGGAAAAAUCAUCAAGGACGGAUGGGCAGACUAUGAAGGAGAAGUGGUAAAGUCUGAAGACAUACAACUUGAACAAAACUAUCCUGAGGAGACCGUAGCACCGAGUCAGGUGUGGAGAGAAAAGAUAGUUAUACACGAAGAGGAAGCACCGUCGGAACCACCGACUACGCCAUCCAGCGAAUCCCAGAAUGACUCAGGAAACGGAGAGUCCCGUUCGGAGGACUUAAAAACACCGAACGCCUUACCAAGAGGUAAACUUGGUAGUUAUCUUUUUUCUUUCAAUUAUUUAAAAUAGUUUGCUUAGUUAAUCAGGUUCACAUCAUCUUGAAAAGAAAAUAAAAAUGUUGAAGAUAGUAAGCCCCAUGUGAGUAUGCUCAUGGCAUAAAACCCAUAAGUACAUUCACUGUGGUGGCAUAAAAAUGAAAUAAAUAUAUUCCUGUCCUAUAAAAAUAAAAUUAUAAAAAUAAAAUUAUGAUCCUACUAAUGAGUAACAUUUAUUGAGGAGGCUCAACAUGAUAAAGGCUAGAUAUUUAUGCUAACACUUAACUAGUUCCACAAAGCUUUGUUGUCUAUUUGAGCUCCACAGAAUUCAAGGAUCAAAGAAUACUAGCAGAUGGAGGACAUCCUAAUCGCUGUCAGAGUGCUGCCGACAUUCAAAUACACCUCCGCCACCUGCUAGCCACAUCAGAAGAAAUUAUGUCGAAAUCCAGCUUGGGGGAGAGCAACCCCAUUUAUCCAGGUAAGUGCUCUACUCAUGUUUAUACUUUACUUAAAUAAUAAAAAAGAUGCACAAUCAUAAAAACCCAAAUAAAGAUUUUGUGCUUAUAUAUAUAUCUUUGCUUAGUUUGCUAAAUAAAUAAAUAAAUAAAAUUUGCUAUGAACCCUCAUGAUAAGCUCUCACAUGGAAAGAUGAAUAGUUGCUCUGCCAUGACUAGUUCUCAAAAUUGAGAUCUCUUUCAAGUUUAGGCAUCACUGUUAUUAAUUAAGAUUUGCUCUAAACCUGAACUUGUGGGAAGAGUACUUGAUCUGAAGUCUAAGUCGUUAACGGAUAUGAUAUGGGAAGGUUGAGCUGCUGUUUAUCUGUUCCUAGAGAUGCUAGAAUUCUGGAGAAUUUUAUCAUUGAAAAUCAUUAAAAUGUUGCAUGAUGAGUUCCUGUAUGAUGAGAGUUUAAAUUCCUACCACAGCCAUAUAUACAUGCUUGCUAGACUAUGAACCACACAUUUACUUUACUACUUAUGAGCAUUGAGUGUGGUCAAGCUGUGUAGACCCUUAGGAGCUUGUCAUGUGGUUAAAUCAAGAUUCACUUGCACGUUCACUCACACAUGCUGCUUCUACUCCGGAAGUACGCAUCCACAUAUAUCCACCCAUCUCCAUCUCCAGAACCACCCAAAAAUAUUCUACUCCUAAUCCGGGAGAGAAUAGCCAAAAAUAUUUCUGUUUUUCCCUGUGAAAUAAAUGCUCAAGUUAUCUUGUUACUACCACUUGCUAUAUUAUCUCAUGAGAUGAGUGCUCUAAUAAAAAAAAAGAAGAAAAAAAAUACGAGGAAAUAAAAAGGGGCAAGUGCCCGGAACCUCGAAAGAAAAAAAAAGUGAGACGAGAGGUAAAAAUGGACAAGUGUCCGACAGUAGAAUUAGGGGUACAAGAUACUCACCUGAGAGAAAAGAAAAAGAAAGUAUAGAGCAUCUCAUUCUCCUCAAAAAGUUUCAAAAGAGCAAGAAAGGUAUGUAUCCCCUCAAAAGAGCAUAAGUAGAAUUAGACUUUCACCAUUGUUAUCACCAUCAUCACCAUACACCAUUCAUUCGCCACACAUGCACAUCUUGAUUUGACUUAUUGACUUGUUCUUCUGGAUCCAUGGUUUGACUAUGCAAUAUAUGUCUUGUAAGUAUGUAUUAGCUGUCUCCCACCUAUGAGCUCCAGAUAUCAAAACCUUAUUAGAGUAGGGUGAGAAAGAAGGCAAUGUCACUAUGCCUCAUACCAAAAAUACCACAUACUUUGAGAGAAGGCAUACACCAUUACUGCCUUGGUAAGGAUCCAGAAAUACCACAAAAGAGAGACUAGAGAGAGUCAUACAAGGAAUCUCUGAGUUUUAUUUGAAAAUCUGCAAAAACUCCAGAGCUAUAGUUAAUCGAAGAACAAGAGACAUGGCGCUUGACUAGACUGUUCUAUCUUUUAACUACUCAAGACAAAAGUGACGGUUACAAGUCCCAUGGUGAAAGGUAAAUGAGUAAGUUUUAAGUCUUAAUAGUUUACUCUAACCAGAGAUGAGAUCUUGUUUAAAUGCAUGUGUAUCUUUAAGUUAUGAAACCACUGCAGAAACUCUUGAGUUCAUCUUUGCUCAGGGACGAGCAAAGGUUAAGCUUGGGGGAGCUUGUUGAUGGUCCUUAAUGCUCAUCUUUAACCAUCAAUUAAUCAUGGAAAAGGAUCCAAAUGCAACCAACACCUAGACUUAGGGUUUUAUCUGACAGAAUUCCACGAGUUUUGGUGUUUGUGUAUUUCUGCAGGGGGUUAUCAAGAAAUAUGGAAGAAAGGCCCACACGUCGGGUUUACAUAGAGAUAUUAACGUGCCGCGCAAUUUUCUACCAUCUAGAAGACUCCAGAAGCCACGGGAACGAACGGGAGACGUAACGGAGCCGGGCACUGGGCGCCUGCCCUCCCCCCUGGACCAAACGGAGUCCAAUUCGGGGACAACACUCCACCGACCUAAUACUUCAAGGAAAACCACACGAUCAAUGUCGGUUUGAUCCGACGGCCCAGAUUCACUUGAAGGGACUAUAAAACCAGACCCCCUGGCCUCUGGAGAUCAUACCUCUUCUAUAGAAUCAAAGCUAGGGUUUCAAUUCUUCAUCCAAGUAGAGAGGAUCCCUCUAGUUCUUCUAGUUCUACCUCUAGUUCAUCUAGAUCUAGUUCUAGUUCAUCUAGUUCUAGUUCCUCUAGUUCUAGUUCUAGUUAGUUCUAGUUGUAAUAUAGAAAAUAGGGAGAGAGAAGAGGAGAGCGGAGGAGGAGCCGGAUCUGUCGGAUCUUCCUCAACAUUAUACUUUUGC
RNAcentral lists this long non-coding RNA (51897 nucleotides) under Sorghum bicolor (sorghum). RNAcentral describes it as "long non-coding RNA (SBIC_LNC017130)". Lineage: Eukaryota; Viridiplantae; Streptophyta; Magnoliopsida; Poales; Poaceae. The record is from RNAcentral.